RNAcentral lists this long non-coding RNA (86002 nucleotides) under Sorghum bicolor (sorghum). Its description in RNAcentral is "long non-coding RNA (SBIC_LNC005849)". The record is from RNAcentral. Lineage: Eukaryota; Viridiplantae; Streptophyta; Magnoliopsida; Poales; Poaceae.
GCGGCCGGCGAGGAGGUUGCGGGGGGCGCGCGUGGGGGCAGAGGACGGGGGCAGAGGCCGCGAGGACGGCGAGGACCGCGAGGACGGCGAGGACGGCGAAGCGCGGGCGGGGACGGCGAGGACGGCGUGGACGGCGGCGGCGGGGGCGCGGGCGGGGACGGCGACGAGGACGGCGCGGGAGGUGGCGCGGCUGGGGACAGAGGCGGGCAAAGGCUUGGAUCGACGGCGAGGGGGGUGGCGCGGCCGCACCGGCGACGAGGACGGGCGAGCGCGGCGGCGGAAUCGCGGGCGGGUGAGCGCGGCGGCGGCGGGGGCGGCUGAGUGUGGGGACGAGUGUGUGUGAGAGAGAGAAGGAGUGGGGGGGAAUUGGAUAAGGCCAGUUAGGGCCUUUACCGAGUGCUGGAUAGUAAGGCACUCGGUACAUUUUUAUUUUUAUUUCAAAAUUUUAAACCGCCCACGUGAUUUACACGAAAUUAAAAGUAUGAAUUCAAAUUAUACCGAGCGCACAGCCAACCCUCGGUACAAAAUGGCCAUGUCACCGAGGGUUACCCAUUGCCGCGCUCGGUACAAACAUUUUACCGAGGGGCCAAGGUGCACCCUCGGUAAAUUUUGGUUAUUUUUUUUUGAAUUUGGCUUCCAAAUUUUUUGUGUGUGCUUCUUACCAUGCCUACUUGUUAAUGUCAGGAUUUGAGAUUUUUUCGUAACCAUUUACUAUUUAUUUUCAAUUUACAUCUAUUAAUUGAAUUUUCAUUUGGGUGUCAAAUUUGAACUGUACGCCAUUCAAAUAGAGGCAAGACAUGAUCCGAAAAAUGAUGGACAUACUUGUGAGUGCAAUGUGAGCCCCAACCAGGGGACAGAGCCAAAAAAAUCGAACACCUUGUUCACGGAACAUGCCAAAUCUGUUGCGGAUGAAUAGUGUUUAAAUUAUAUAAAAUUCAAACGAAGUCGAAAAAUCAAAAAACUUGUCCAGUGGUCAUGGUAUCUUAUGUGUAGACUGUGAAAAAAAUUUGAGAAGGUUUCGCUGAAGUUGGCGCCUAGAGUGAUGAAAUCCUGUACAACUCCACUAGAGUUAUAUUAUCAUAUGUUGUAUACAGCCUGGGUUUCAUCACUCUAGGCGCCAACGUCAGCGAAACCUUCUCAAAUUUUUUUCACAGUCUACACAUAAGAUACCAUGACCACUGGACAAGUUUUUUGAUUUUUCGACUUCGUUUGAAUUUUAUAUAAUUUAAAGACUAUUCAUCCGCAACAGAUUUGGCAUGUUCCGUGAACAAGGUGUUCGAUUUUUUUGGCUCUGUCCCCUGGUUGGGGCUCACAUUGCACUCACAAGUAUGUCCAUCAUUUUUCGGAUCAUGUCUUGCCUCUAUUUGAAUGGCGUACAGUUCAAAUUUGACACCCAAAUGAAAAUUCAAUUAAUAGAUGUAAAUUGAAAAUAAAUAGUAAAUGGUUACGAAAAAAUCUCAAAUCCUGACAUUAACAAGUAGGCAUGGUAAGAAGCACACACAAAAAAUAUGGAAGCCAAAUUCAAAAAAAAAUAACCAAAUUUUACCGAGGGUGCAUCUUGGCCCCUCGGUAAAAAUUUUGUACCGAGCGCCGCUGUAUGCAACCCUCGGUAACUAGCCAUUUUGUACCGAGGGUUAGCCAGGCUCUCGGUACAAUUUGAAAUCAUACUUUGGAUUGAAAUGUUUUUGAAUUUUUAAUUUCGUAAAUCACGUCUGCAAAAUUUUGGAUUCAAGUGUUUUUGAAUUUUGAAAGACCAAACUCUACCGAGGGCUCCGCAUACCCCUCGGUGUAAAUAUUUCACCGGAGGCAACCCAUUAGCGCUCGGUGGAAUGACCAUAUUCUACCGAGCGACAGACGGUGCUCUCGGUGGAGUUGACGACGUUGUGGGAGUUUACUCGACUGAGAGAGUGGUGCGUCAAUUUUACCGAGAUGUUUUUUCUACCGAGGAGCUUUGCUCGCUAAAACACAGUUUUAGCGAGGGUUUUAUCUUACCGAGGGUUAGACGCUCGGUAGAAGGGAAUGGUACCGAGCGUAUGUGUUCACCGAACGCUACUCGUGAAGUGCACCGAGGGUCUUAUUUCACCGAGCUUAACCGUCGGUACAAGAGUGAUGUACCGAGGGCCCGUUUUCCUGCUCUCGGUACAUCUUUAUGCUCUCGGUGGAGAUGCACUGUGCCGUAGUGACUGGAGGAAGUAGGAAGGGGCUGGAGUUUUAAUUUACGGAAGUAAACAAGAAAUCAGAUAUAGUAGUAGCACUAAAACAAUUGAAACAUGCUCUAAUUGUAUUUUCUAUCCCAGAUCAGAUAUAAAUAAAAAUUAUAAUGAUAAUAGUACAAAAGAUAGGCUGCUCUGCCAACUUCAAUCCAGCAAUUGCGUAGGCGAUUACUAUUGUUAGAGCAUACAGUGAGGUGAGCUAGUAGCCUGCAGGUAUCGCGAAGCUAUGGUUUUGUAGGGUAAAGCACUUGUCCUCCUGCGAAGAGGAUUGCACAGGACACUGCUUCCUCCACCACGAAGAAGGCAAACGGAUAGUCGAUCGGCGACGAAGUCCACAGCCUUUGGCCGCCGCAGAGGCGCUGCCAUUGCACAACAACGUUCCCCGAUUAUAAGAGCUGUGGAAGCCGCUGCCUCAGUGUCUUCCUCGUUCACCUCAAUCACCGCCCUGUGCCCCUGUGGCGCUCGGGAGUCUCCGUGUCGCCGCCGCCGCCAUAGUGCACCAGCAUGUCGGGCAGGUCGGCUCUGGCAGGAUCGAAGCACGGCCUUGAUCCCGAGAUCCUGGAGCUGGCGCUUCAUUGUCCGAUCCGAUGCCCCUACCUGGUGGGGCGUCCGUGCGCGGGAGGGCGCGCUCCACCAUGCAGCGGACGUUCUCGGUGUGGCUCUCGCGGGAUUGGGCGUCGAGGAGCUCGCUUAGCUAUCCCUUGGCGCCGGCGGUCGUCAGGGAAAGCGCAGUCUCAUCAUCCGCCCUAAUUUUUUUACUACACCUGCAGAGCCUGCACUAGUUCCUGCAACGUCCUGUUGAGCUUUGCAGCAAAAUAAGCAGCAGGUUGCAGACAUCUGCUGCAUGUAUCUUUUAGUUAUUUUUUUUUUUUUGCUGAGAGAGAUGCAUGCUAAUAUUAACUAGAGAAGCAUUAUACAUAACACAAUACUAUAUACUGGUAGCUAGCGGGUGCCAUGGCCGGCGCCUCCAAAUUACGGCAGGACGCACCAAUCUUAUAUCUUACCAUGGGGGCACGUACGACGCCAAGAAGCAAUGGCGACAUGAAGGUGCAGGCAUCAGGUGGAGAAUGAGGCUAUGUUGCCCUCUUGCUGCAGAAUGAGGUUGGAGCCGAGAGUUGGAUGGGGAGCCAACAUGGGGCAUUGGGGUGUACUGGAGACGUCCUCCUAGAGGUAGGGCGGCGGCCAUGGUGAGAAAGUUCAAAUUAGAAGAACAAGAAGAAGGGAGAAGGGGAACAAGCAGUUGAGUGGUUCUCACGGAGCAGUUGACUGACGCUUUUCUAGCACCGCCGUUGCGGACGUGGCGCUCGACCAGGAGUUCGCUCGUGCGGCAGAAGGCAGCAAGCCUUGCAGGCUGAUGCAAGUGUCUGUUUUAGUCUCUUGGGCUUUGCAGGAGUCCGCUCGUGCGGCCGGUGCGGCGCUGGUGCUGCCCAGGAUGAACGCGAAGGCAGCAAGCCUUGCAGGCUGAUGCAAGUGUCUGUUAGGCUUUGCAGGCUUGGCAGCCCGCAUCACUUGAAACAGAGCCUGCAGUGUCCACGAGAUCUAUUUUUACGGGCGGGCCGAGCAGGAACGGUCCGCACCUGCUUGUAUCUUUAAGCACAGAAGUACAUGGACAGGGGCGAGAAGACGAGGUUGCCGGCGGACCUACUCUCUCCUCCUCCAGCGGGGGCGGGGAAGUCGUCCUUGCCCUUCGCGGCGGCGGAGGACAAGUUCCUCAUCAGACAGACGGUGAGAUAUAUAGGGCCAACAGGUCGAAGCUCGUACGCGCAGCGCCCCGUGUUCCACCAUUGCCAAUUUUUGCGAUGCCGCCGGUGCGAGCUCGAUCGGCCGAGUCGCCUGCUUGCAGCCUCAAACUUUUCCAUCCACAGAUUAUACAUGUCCCAAGUCUCAUUGUGUAUAUACGUAUAUAUUUACUUACGAUGCCCCUUCAAAAAAAGCUUCUGCUGAAGGUGUACGGCUUGCAUGAUAAGAACUUAAGAAGCUCUAACUUCCUGACGAUUGGUGAUUGCCUAGUAUAGCAAGUAAGAUAUGCUUGUUUUGUUUUCCUGUUCGAUUCAGUCAAAGUGGACUUAUAAUAAAGCUAUAUGUAAUGAACUUAAAUUCUUGAUGUACUCGGUACACUAGGAGUGUGUUCAAUUAAUGAUAUUUUGCACUAGAUAUAUGCAUGACGAAUGUUUGGAUGUGUUGCACAAUGGAUGAACUUGAUAGUUUCAUUAAAAAAAAAAUGGAUGAACUUGAUAACUUAUGAGACCUAUCACACAGGUGCAAAGUGGUCUCGAUUUUCAUUGAAAAAUCCUAAUCUGCUUUACUAGCUAGAUGCAAUUAUAUGUUGUGUUUCUGGAUGCACUUGUAUUUACUCAAAGCAGCCAAUGGAAAAUCUACUCCAUAAAGAAAUAUAACAUUUUCUAGUAUUUUAGAACAGACUAAGGACAAAAGAAAGAGAAUGAUUGUGGCGCCCAUCAAUAGAUAGAUGCAAUUAACACCUGCACCCUAUAGAGAUAAUAGAAAUAGCAAGCAUCAAGUCUUUUCUAAAUACCAAAUUACAUUGACACAAAUAAGGAAACUAAUUAUUAAUGAUGAGAGAUAGAGGGGUAGAUUAUGUUAGAAAUGCUUACAUUUUUAGGCAAAUUUUGAAUUCUGCUAGAAAUGCUUACAUUGUGAAUGGAGUUGAUAAAGUGUAUCUAUUUGGGUUUGGAUAGUCAACUACGCACGCCAGAGCAACCACUAUAAAUAUCAAACUUGUGUAUGCUUUUUUUCUCUCACACCAAAUUAAAUAGCCAUGGCAUCCAACAAGAAAGUAAUGGUGCUUGGUCUCUUUGCCCUGGCCUUGUUCCUCGUGGCCCAUUGUAAGUAAAACAAUCCUUGUUGUUUAUAAUGUUCAAGAAAAUAGUAAAGAAAAUCCACCACCUGAAAUUGGAAACUUCGCAACAUUCCUCCUGCAUCAUGCAUCAUCCCAUACAAUCUUGGAGCGAGUACCACAUGCUAAUCUGUGUCCUUGUAUUUUAAAUUUUGUCUAUACAUGUGCCUAACCAAUAACCUAGCGAUCUAUAAUCAUAUCCAUAGGCACAGAGGCGGUGCAUGUAUGCACGAUGAGGAACAAGUUUUUCCAUGGUCCGUGCAUGAGCAACAAGAAUUGUGCGGCCUCGUGCAUCCAACAUCGCAUUGGUGGCGGUGGGUACUGCUCCUCCCGUAGACAAAUAUGUAAAUGUACCCUUCAAUGUUGGAGAAAGACAAGACUAGCUGGGAUCACGCCGACACGCGGCAGGGACCCUCUGACACCCUUGGACACGCCUAGGAUGGAAGUAUCCAAUUGAGUGUUACAUAUAUAUGUAUAUGCAGUUGAUCACUGGAAUUGAAUAAGAGAAGAACACAUGUAGUCAUGUUGUUGUAAGCAGCAAAUGCGUGAAAAUAAUUUAGAGAUGAUGAACAAAACUGGCAGUAUUAUUUUUGUCAUGAGCAUCUGCUACAGGGCCAUAAGCCCCCCUCACCCCCACCUCCAAGUAUAUCUCUUUAACUCUUCCAUUGACGAAUGUGGCACACUUGUAAACACUGAAGUUUUGCCCCCAAAGGCACAUAACCUCACAUGCAUCAUUGUUGAUGGAGAUGCAUGUGCAGUAACAGUGAGAAAUCUAACUCUUGUUGUACACUCAUGUGCAUCUAGCAGUACACGUGGGGCAUAUAUGCUCUUAAUUAGGAAGCAAAAUCAACAUUAUUACCCACUCUUAGUUUUAACAUGAUCGUGUUUUGGUAGCUUGGUUUUGGGUCUCAGUCUGUCCCUAUAUGUGCGUGUCUCCAUUUCGAAUUUCCACUUCGUGAGAGGCUACUCAGCCUCAGCCACGGCUAUGCACGGUGCAUCGGCAUCUCGACUGACAAGGCCAAAUCUAAGCACCUUCAUAUUUCCCAUGGUGGUAUCUAAACAUUUUGAUUUUACAAUAAAUCUGCUUGAGAUUAGAUGCAAAUAGAAUUCAAAUGGCAAGAACAAGAGCCAAAUCAACUUUGUAAAUAUUUGAAAUUGUGUUAGGUAAAAUUAUGCAUGUUUGUGUGUGAACUAUCGGUGACGGACGGAUUACCUACAAGUUUCUACUAUGCAAUACGAUAUGAAUGUAUUAUCCAAUACUAAAUUUAUUAAGUGGUUCGGUACAUAAUUCUAAAUGGCUCGACGGACAAGGAGAAUAUAAAAAAUAAGUUUGGAACCUUCUUAAAUGAAAAUGCAAAUAGUUUAGACAUAAGGUCUUGAGUAAUAGAAGAUUACAUUACUAGUUAAGGUCUUUUGAUUUAAGUCCAAAUGGCAUAUAAUCACACAUUCACGCACCAAUUUCACAUAUCCCAUAUGCACAAUCUCUAACUCUAGUCUAAACUAGACAAUGGUUGAGUAACACGCUUAUAGACACUCUUACACUCAUAGGGCUAAUGCGUUGGAGCCCAUAGGCCAUAGGGAUCGAGAGAGGAAGGGUGUUGUGCGGUUGUAGUGUCGUCGUGUGCAUCAGCCAUCAGGAACGACCUAUCUGGUGGUCCGCCGACCACCAGUGGCGUAGCUAGGGUUCAGUGCAAGGAUGGUCCAUCUAAACGUAAUAAGCCAAAUAGUAGUGUUCUAAAUGCAAUCUUCAUUAUAGCAUAGAACACUUAUACUGUAGUUUCAACAUUAAUCCAAUUUCUAUGGUGGUCCAUGGCACAACGUGCCACCAUGCUAGCUCCGCCUAUGCCGACCACCGUCGUCGUCUAUUCUCCUCAGUUGGAGCCUGGCGAGCGGCAUGGGUAGGAGAUUAGUGAGGGCCAGCGGGGAUAGGGACAGGGCCAAAUGCUGGAGGGCGGAGCUACGGAGGGCCUCGUGGGCUCACGAGUGCAUAUAGAUCGAGGCAGGGAAGAGGUGGACAGGCGCCGGGCGGUGGUGCGAUGCAGACGCGAUCAUGUGGCGGCGCAGAGGAGUCACAUACUCUUGGUUCACGAGGUUGGGAGGGAGGGGCGUCGACAUGUCUCGGAGAGGGAGAGAGAGAGAUAGUUUCUAGGCUAGAUUUUGUUUAUUGGGAAAUGAAUGACAAGUAUAUAAAAUUAAGCCAAAUUUCAGGAGGUUUUCGACCCAUCCGGACUAUCCUUCGGAUCUGUCACUGUGAACUAUGGUAGUGUUAAACUAUUAAUAAACCCUAUAAAAUAGAAAAAAGUUUAAAUUUAAUUUAGAGUAAAUUUUCUUAAUAAAAUAUAAAGCCCUUAAUAAUUUUCUCAUAUAGCUUGGGUCCACAUAUUGCCCCACUCUCAUCGGUUGAUUAUCUACCAGAGUGGGCUACUCCAUGUCUUCUUCAGCACGUGCCAUUAGCUCAUCACUCCUCCCUCCCCCUUCCUAGUUCCUACUAGUGGACCUUUUCUCUCUAGUCUAAGCAUGUCCCGCUCCCUUCCUCCUCUCUCCUGGCUGAACAUGUUUGGGUGUAGCCAGCCUAACUCCAUGACUUUUUCCUCUAUAUGAAUCAAUAUUAUUCCAUCCAAUUUUUUUAGCUUCUCGAUACUGUGACUGACAAGUGUGGCCUGCUAACUAGCGCUUUCCCUAGAGCAUUGCAAAUCUACAACAAAUUUGUUGCUCACCGACGCAUGAGAUGGAAAUCUGCAAGAAAGUUGUCGCUCAUUGACGCAUGUGACGAGCAUUUUUUAUUUUCAAAGACGGGCAGGUUUUCAGAGACUCUAGCCAAACAUCAAUCGCCAAUUAUAGAGGUGGUCGAAAUGAUCAUCUUUGGAAAUCAAUUCCACCUUCGUUAGUGAUUACCAGAAAUGCCUAUCUUUGUUAAUGGUUCCCAGGAAACACAAACAACCAAAAACAUUAUGUCCUUCCUAGGAAUCAAAUCAUAGCCUUCAACUCAAUACUUGGACCUCACUACCACUACACGUCUACACCACACCAUAUCACUUAUGAGUGUCAAUACUUGGACCUCACUACCACUACACCGCACCAAAUCACUUAUGAGUGUAUAUAUAAGUGUCUUUUUUAUAAAUAUUCCGUAACCUGUUCUGAAUAUUUUUUAAAGUACAAAUGUUAGCUACAAAGAUUAAAAUAUUGUAAAAUACUAUUUAUAUAGCUUAUCGCUUUAUUGGAUCAUAUUCUUGAGCACUAAAACAUUCACUUUCUUCUCCUUGAUCAUUUGUUGUUGGUUUUAACUUUUUUGUCGUUGUUAUAAUUGUUUGCAGAAAGUGAAGAUUAUGGUAGCUAUGGAGAACGUGUUAGGAAUGCUUGCUGUGGUUAUCUUUGUCAAAGUGGCACAAUGGAACUAUGAGAGCAUAUAUCAUUUAUGGGACUUCAUUAUAUUAUCGGGUUAAUUGGUGUGCUUGACCGAAAUACCCUGCACUCUUUUUCGACAUAUUGUUCUUGGCCAGUGUUAUUUUAAACGCUAAAUGGUAAACAAUCUGUUAUUGUUUAUUUAGCAUUUAGACAAUUUAGAUGAUGUUUAAACAGAGUUAAAUGAUUUGCAUAGUAACAUAUACAUAUUUAUGUAUGUAAAAGUUAAAUAUGCUAGAAAGUAUAUAUAUAUUUGUGCAUGUAAAAUAUAUGUAUUUUAGCAAAUAAUUUUUGUGGAAGAAAACUACCCAUACCACCUCAUAUACUUACGAUGUUAAUUAGUUGGGUGCCAAAUGUGGUGGUUGUAAUCCUCUUUUUAAAUAAAUGGUAAAUUAAAUAGCCAUUUAACCCAUUUAAGCAUGUUUAAACGGCCUAGUUUAAUUCGUUAUUUAGAGUCUAAAUGACACGGUUAGCCCUUGAUUAUUGUUUAAAACAAUGGUCAUUUAGGUGAACUAUUCUUAACUUGUAUAAUUUUGUUGCAUUUAGGUAUGCUCACUCUAGUAAUUUACACCGCUUAUUUAGUAAUUGCACAUUUAUUGAAAGUCUGGCUUUUGUAUUUAAUAUUAGAUGAUGGAGCUCAUUUAUCGAUAGACAUUGCCAUCCAUGACUUACUUUCAGAGUUAGGACUAAAGUACCAUGUAUACUGCUAGCAAACAUUGUUAAUACUCUUGAUGCCUGUUCGUUGGUUGAAAAACCAUGGCUGAAAGUAUUGUUCGCUGAUUUAUGAGUAAAGUUCAUCAUCGGUCCUUAAACUUGUCUUGGUGUAUCAUCCCGGUCCCUAAACUCGGUAGACGACUGUUUAGAUACCUAAACUUGUUCGGUUGUAUCAUCUUGGUCCAUAAACUUGGAGAUCUCAUAUAAGUCCUCAAACUUGUUUAGUUGUGGGUCAAAACAGGAUGAAUCUAAAAACUCUAUAUCCAAAAAUAACUCAACUUUUUCAUAUGAACUCAAAUGAAGAUAAACUUUGUAUCAAAAUUGUAGUCAGCAACGCGAUGUACAACUUUGUAGUUAAAAAGUUUUUAAAUUAAAAUCAUUUAGGAUCCCAAAAUAUUUUUUUAAGUUUAUAGAUUUUGAAAUUUAAAAUUUAAAAUUAAAUUUUGUGAUACUAAACAACUUUAAAUAAAAUACUUUUCAACUACAAAGUUAUAGAUUGCAUCGAGGGCUACAACUUUAGUAUAAAGUUUGUCUUUAUUUGAGUUCAUAUGGAAAAGUUAUAAAUUAUUUUUGAUAUAGAGUUUUUAGAUCGCUUUGUUUUGACCCAAUUGAGACUCAAAACAAGUUUAGGGACCAGGAUGAUACAUUUGAACAAAUUUAAAGACCUAAAUGAGUGAUUUCUAUGUUUAGGGACCGGAAUGAUACAACUGGACAAGUUUAGGGACCGGGAUGACACAGAAGAACAAGUUUGAGGACCUAAAUGGUCGGUUUGCGAGUUUAGGGACCGGAAUGACACGACAUUAUAAGUUUAGGGACCGGUGAUGGACUUUACUCCUGAUUUAGAGAAAAACACUGUUGACUGGCCGAAAAAGUACGACUUAUAAGACAAGGGAACGAUCUAGUUGUCACUCAACCACCAAAAUUGCUAAACCCUUUCUAGAGUUCAAGUUUCUUACAUUGUGCAGCGGAUUCAUGUCACAACUGAUGAGACCUAGAACUAUAACAUAGGUGCUAAGAGGUUUAGAUUUUUGUUGAAAAUCCUAGUCUGUUUUACUAGAUUCAUUUAUAUAUUGUGUUUUUUUAUCUAUAUAUAUGUUGGAUUUACUUGCGCAUUUAUUCCAAGCGGCCAAUGAAAGAACUACUUCAUCUAGAAAUACAAGCAUUUCUAUGUUUUUAGAAUAGAUUAAGAAAAUGAAAAUGAUUGUAGCAUAGAAUAAAUUAACACAUGCCCUUACAGAGAUCAUAGAAAUGACAUACACUAAUUGUUUUCUAAAUACCAAAUUAUAUUGACACAGAUAAGGAAACUAAUUAUUAAUGAAGAGGAAUAGAUAGGCUAGAUUAUGCUAUAAAUGAUUAUAUUUGUAGGAAAAUUUUGAAUGUUGCUAAAAAUGCUUACAUUGUGAGUGGAGUUGCAAUAUUUGGGUUCGGAUAGUCACCUAUGAGCAAACCACUAUAAAUAUGGAACAUGUGUAUGCUCUUUUGUCUCGCACAAAAUUAAAUAGCCAUGGCAUCCAACAAGAAAGUAGUAGUGCUCGGUGUCUUCACCCUGGCCUUGCUCCUACUGGCCCACUGUAAGUAAAACAAUCCUUGUUGUUUAUAAUGUUCAAGAAAACACUAAAGGAAGAACUACCACACCUUAAAUUGGAAAUUUGGCAGCCUAACAUAUAUACCUCCUGCAUCAUCAUCAUCAUCCUAUGCAAAACAUCAUGCAGCGAGCUAGUAUUGCUAAUAAUUAAUCUCUAUCCUUUAUUUAAAAGUUUGUGUAUAUAUGUGCCUAAUUAGCCACCUCGCGAUCUAUAAUUGCAUAUGCGUAGGCGCGGAGGCGCACUUGUGCACGACAAGGAACGUGUAUUACCAUGGCCCGUGCAUGAGCAACAAGAAUUGCGCCGACUCGUGCAUUCAUGACGACGUGGGCAGCGGUGGGUAUUGCUCCUCUACCUGGAAGCGUGGCCCCUUUGGAAGAAUAUGCAAAUGUACCUUUGAAUGUUGGGAAGAAAACAAAGCCAGCACCAGCAAGGGACUGGACACGCCUAGGGCAGAAGUAUCCAAUUGAGUAUUGCAUAUAUGUGAUCCAUGCAUCGAUGGAAUAAGAAGAGAAGCAUAUAUGUAGUCAUGUUGUUGUAAGCAACAAAUUGCAUAUGUACCAAAGAUAAUUUGCAUGGGGAUGAUGAAUAAAAUAAACUUGCAGUGUUAUAUUUAAUUUGCCAUGAGCAUUUUUUUUUCGAAAACGUGCACUUAGCCCGUGUUGCUUUAAGGGAAGAAAGAGUUUGUUACACAGCUUGCUGGGGAUUAGGCGAGGUGCCCUUUCCGAGCAAACGAGACACACGAACAUAGAGCACCGGCUGGAACGGUGGAGCUUCGAGUGGCGUGCUAAGGAAACAAAGUAGUAUUGCUACUCGAAGCGGAAGCCACUAGCCAGAAGCUAAAGCAAAAAGAGGGCUGAGCUUGGAGAACCCCGCCGCGAUCCAUUCUUCGCCCUCGGCCCGAAUCCGCCGCAAAACCUGAGUCGUGGUUGCGCAGAUCCCGUCGAAAGUCCGUCGGUUUCGCUCCUUCCAAAGCUCCCACGAGACAAGAAGGACGAGUGAGUCGAAGCCCCGCGAUAAAGCUCUUGGGACCUGCUUCCUGGCCCCUAGCCACCAGUCGACUAGCGUGUCCGACUGUGAAGGCGCGGUGUGGUGCGAACCUACCGCGCUGAGGAUGCGGUACCAUAUCUCACGAGAGAAAACGCAUGCGACGAGCAGGUGGUCGCACGUCUCGUCCUCCUGGCCACACAAUAGGCAAUCCGCAUGCUGCUGCAGCCCGUGCCUCCAUCUCCGUUCCGCCGUCCACAGCCUCUUCCGCAGCGCGAGCCAGAAGAAGAAUUUUACUUUGGGAGGGCAGCACACACGCCAGACCUCGCGUGCUCCCGCUAGCCCCGUGGUCCCAUGGAAGAAAGCGCGAUAAGCAGAUGCCGCAUCGUACGUUCCAUUAGCGCUCCAUUUCCAGAUGAACCUGUCGUCGAUCCCAGGCUGCAGCUGAACCCCUUGCAGGACAUCCCAUAGCAUCAAGUAGUCGGCAAUGACAGCCGCCGUCGUAGCGCCCGUGAUGUCGCGAGUCCAGCGCCUGGCCAUCAGUGCCUCGCGCACAGAGCGGCCCCGACGCCGUCGGCCGACCGCGCUGAACAGGUCCGGCGCGGCUAGGCAGAUCGGUCCGCAGGGUAGCCAAUUGUCCGUCCAAAAGCGUGCAAGGUCGCCGCUGCCGAGUUCGACCCUUACAGAGGCGCGGAACAUGGCGAUGGUGGCCGUGUCUGUGCGGCAGGGAAGACCCGCCCACGGUGCGGAUGGAUCGUUACGUCUCUGCCAUUCCCAACGAAGUCUGAGCGCGGCGCCCAUGGUCUUCAGGUCCGGGAGGCCAAGACCGCCGAGCUCCUUUGGUAGGCACACCACUGGCCAUGCCACCCGGCAGUUGCCGCCCUGAACCGUGUCCGCGCCAGCCCAUAGAAAGGCCCGGCGCCGUUUAUCAAUCUCACGUAUAGCCCAUGGCGAGAGGGCGCAACAGAUGGACGUGUGCACCGGAAUCGCCGAUAGGGUUGAUUUCGCCAAGGUGGCCCGUCCCACCGACGUCAGUAGCUUCCCCUUCCAGGUCGGGAUCCGCGCGGCGACCUUGUCCACGAAGUGUUGCUCGUCCGCUCUUGCUAGCCUAGAAGUGGACAGCGGCGCGCCCAGGUAGGUGAGCUGGAAAGGCUGGAUCCGACAGGGGAAGACGUGUAACACCUGGUCGACGUCCGCGUCGUCACAGCGAAUCGGCGUGAUCGUGCACUUGUCGAGGUUCGUGGCGAGUCCUGAGGCGCCGGCGAACACCUCAAGCAGCUGCCUGAUACAACUGAAGUCCAGCGGCUCAGUAUACAGUAUUUUUUUUCUCUUAAAAUCUUGCACUGACGGCCGUGGCACACAUACUCUUUGGCCCGUUUGUUUCCUUUUGCUAAAUUUUAGGCAGCUAAAAUUAUUUUAGCUAUUCUUGGAUAACUAGGACUAAAUUAUUUUAGCUCUUUUUUAGUCUAUAUGUUUAGAACUUUAACCACUAAAGUGAUAAUCUAGUUUGCUAAAAUUUAGUAAGGACAAACCAAACAGGCCCUUUGUUUCAAGGUUCUCAAUUAUGAUCGUGUUGGUAGCCUUCAUGCUGGUUUUGGUCACGUGUUGUCCCUAUGUGCGUGUCUCCCUUUCUAGUUUCGAUUUCGUGAGAAGCUACUCAGCCAGGUGUGAUGGCGCAUGGCCACGUCGACCAUCAACUAAGCUUCAUAAUUUCCGACGGUGCUAUCAAACAGAAUUCAAAUUGCAAGAAUAUAAGAGCCAAAUCGACUUUGAAAAUAUUUGACAACAAAAUUUGAUAAAAAGUACCGAAGCAGUUCCUCCGUCCCAAAAUAAGUGCCUAUGAUGUUCAUGUUGGUCAUACUUUUUUUAAGUUUAUCUAACUUUAUAGAAAAUAUUAUUAGCAAUAUUUGUAUCUCUAAAUAAGUUUAUUAUUAAAAAAAUAUAUUCAACAAUCAUAUCUAAUGAUAAUACCUUUGUACUAUAAGUUUUAAUAUUUUGUUAUAUAUAUUGAUCAAAGUUUAGAAUAAAAUAUUUACUCUUCGACAAGCGAUAUGGCAUAUUUUUCUUUUUGGUCUGGAGGAAUUAAUAAUAAAAAAUAAUUUUAAUUUUAAUAAUACCUGUCGCUUCCGUCUUCACUGCCUGUUGUAGCUUUAGGCCCGGCAGGGAAAGCCGGCCCAUAUAGCCCAUCGACUCUUUGGCUGCUGGGCACUCGCGUACAGAUUCCGGAGGGGAAGCAAGCGCUCGGUGCUGAACGUCUUGGGCCGUCUGCCAUCUCUUGACUAAGGGCUGCGGUCUCUCUGUAUACCUGGGCCUAGGGCCCUCCCUCUCGUGGGCCCUCGGUCAUCGCACCUCUCUGGGACGGGCCGGAUGUAUCCCUAUUCCCUAGCAUGAAAUGUUUUUUUUAUGAAAAUGUGAAAUGGUUGUAAAGGCCACUUCUUUUCUACAUAAGCAAUUUUUCACGAGGUUCAUGCAACGUGUCGGUAGUAAUAACAUGUCGAAUUGCCAAUCCCAUGUACUACUCAUUACUCGUUGUUGACUAUUGUGGCCUACAGCCUCGAAGCAGGAGGAAGUUUUCAUAGGCUUAUUGUAUAUAUAGUUGACCUGUUACCUGGAAUCGUGCUUAGUUACUCUGUUUAGCGGAAACGUCGGUGCUUAACCUGGUGGCGGCUUUUUAAUUACUUUCAACUUUUCUUUUCAUGUAACGUAAUCACAAGGUGAUGACAAACACAUGCAACUGCAUUUGCACAUGAUGCAUGAGCAUUAUUCUGAUGUUCGUAAACAGAGUAUGCCAAAGUAUGAAUGAAUUCCUUUCUAGUUUUUGGAUGUCUAGUUCAACUAAGUUUGCUAGACACGUUUUCAUUCAAACCUGCAACGACCUCCCUGCUUUACCCUUCUCUAUUUUGUCCAACACUUCCUGAAUUCCAAGUUGUUUGCAAGCUAAGGCCCUGUUUGAAUUCAUUAUCUGCUAAUAAAAUAAUUCAUAACUAAUAUUAGCUGGCUAACUAUUAGCUAGACUAGAGUAUGUUUGAAUGCAUAGUUAUUAGCCAGCUAACAAUUAUUCAUUUGCAGGUAUAUACGGUUCCUGUUAUCUAGAGGUCCAGUCGUCUAGCUAAUAAUUAGCUAGUCUAUUAUUUGUUACAUGUUUUGAUUAAAAAGAUAUCUAUUGGUAGAUAACUACUACUAUGCUAUCUACAAGGAUCAAACAGCGCCUAAAUAGCGAAGAGAGAGCGUCCACCUCUGUAAGUUCGUCAUCGUCAUCAGAAAUUGAAACAAAAAGAACGUCUCUACUGGGUAUAAAAAAAAAUUGAAACAAAAGAUAUAGGUUCCAACUCAGAGCAAUAGUCAUGUGAUGAGAUCAUGAGAGCCCUGACUGAGCACUGCACGAGCCAAUCAGAUUUUUUUUGGUUUUUCUGCGAGGAACCAAUCAGGACAUGUUUUCCCCUACCAAUAAUGCCGAUUAUACAAGCUCAAGGAGCAGGAAUCUUUCUCUGUGUCACUGUCAAUUCAACCGAGCAGGAAUCUCGAGGCAACAGCACCAAAAACAAGUAAAUGGAAGAAGAUGAAAUGGGAGGCUUUAUCUUACGACAAACAAUGCAAGGUGCCAAGAACUGAAAUGGCCACAGCUCGCUCGCUGGGGCUAGCUAGCCUCUGCACUGGGUGAUGGCGGAGCAGCCCCGGGUGUAGGGGUUGGCGGCGCCGCCGGGGCGGCAGUUGUAGUAGGACGCGCCGCGGUACGAGCACGGCGUCUGGUCCUUACGCAGCGCGCCGUAGCCGAUGCUGCCGCCGUCGCCCAGCUCCCUCCUGGCCGCCACCGCGCACUCCGCCCCCGUCGCCGUGCCCGUGCAGGCCGCCACGCCGCCGUAACCGUAGCCCACGUCCGCCGCCCAGUCGUCGUCGUGGUGGUACACCGGUGCCAACGCGGCGGCGGCGGCGCUCCGCUGCGCGUUGUUGCCUGCGACCGCGAGGAGCACGGCGGCCAGUACAAGCACCGCGAGCGCCGAGUGGCGCCGUGGCGGCAGCAUCGCGCGCAUCCGGGCGGCCGCUUUAUGCUGCAGACCUGCGCGGUAGAAUGCUCUCCUGCAGUCAGUAGUCUUCCUGCACUCCACGUUACCAGUGCCAGAGCUACCAACUUUAAAGAUCCGAGGACAGCUUAGACCUUGUUUAGUUUCGAAAUUUUUUUAAUAACUUUUAUUUAUAUUUAAUAAUUAUUGUUUAAUUAUAGAUUAAUUAUGUUUAAAAGAUUUGUCUCAUAAAUUAUAAGUAAAUUAUAUAAUUAAUUAUUUUUUCUAUUUAUAUUUAAUACUCUAUUUAUGCGUCUAAAAAAUUAAUGUGAUAGCGAAUCUGAAAAUAUUUAGAAACUAAUCAAGGCCUUAGUUAAUAAAAAAACACGAGGGCAUUGGAAUUUAAAUAAGGUGAGGCGUGUGGAAAUUCGUAAUCAAUUUUAUGUUUUUUUAUACAUAACCUUUCUAGAUCCCAUGGUGAGCAUGUAUAAUGUGAUGCUUAAAGGAGGUGUUUAGUGAAAAAGCUAGGUUGCUCACAACCAAUACCGAUAGCAAAGCAUGAGCUUUGAAGGUGAAUAAGGUCCGGUGCAUCCAUGGAGCUAAUAGGUAGAGCAUCUCCAAUAGUUUCAAAAAAGACAAUUGGUAAACCAAUGAGUUUUUUAAGUGGCUAAAAACAUUUGGGAGGAUAUUUGUUGGGUUAUUAUAACAAUUUUUAGAAUAUCACUCCUAAAAUAUAGAAGAGAAUUUUGCAUUAGGAAUCCUAUACUAUGUCGAAAUCACACUAACCACUUUUAUACUUUUCUCUCUCUUUUGUACAUUUGUAUUAAAAAUCAUGUCCUACUUCUUUUUUUUUCCCGCGUCCUUCCACCUCCAGAUUGACAUGAUUGGGUCGAUUUUCCCAAGUGUGGAAAGACUGAGAGUUGAGAUAGAGAAUCGUUGAAGAACAUUUUUUUUACAAUUUUGCUAAAAACUUACGAUUGAGAGUGGAUUUUGAAAACUCUCGAAUAUGCUCUUAUUUGAUAAUAAUUAGCUCUUCGGAUCCAAACAUGCCUCGCCAAUAGUUUAACUAAUUAUCAGUUGAACUAGACUAGUCAAUAACAACUAAUAUUUGUUAGUAAUAGCUAAUAUAUAUUUGUUAAUCAGAACUAAUAUUUCUUGGACUAAACUAGUUAAUAAUAACUAAUAUUUGUUAAUCUAAACUAGUUAACAACAGCUAAUAUUUGUUAAUAACAACUAAAAUCUGUUGGAUUAAACUAGUUAAUAACUGCUAAUAACUAUUUUACUAGUUGGACUAAAACUAGUUAAUAUAACAGCUAAUAUUUGUUAUAAACUAUCUAUUAGUUAGCUAACUGUUAGCAGCUAAUAGAUCCAAACAAAAUCUAAGAUGGCUCCAAUCAACUUGGACUUAAUACAAUUAUAAUGUGCAGUACGAAAGAACCAAAUUUUCCUUUUGGCCCCCAGCCACCAGUUCGUCUUGAGGUGGUGCACGACCGAUCGAUGCACCAUGUUUCUUUAUUUACUGCAUGGUGCCGUGGAUCACACUUUCUGUACACAAGGAAUAAUUGUGCACGAGAUCCAUGCAAUGUCGGUAGUAGAGUAACAUGCAACGCAGAUACGUAUAUUACGUAUACGUGUACAAAAAAAAGCCAAAAAAAACUUGCAGUUCUGGAUCUGCCUCGUGCCUCUAUACAUUGACUUUAUUAGUUUAUUUGGCUUGACUGGAAUCUCGAGCGAAGAAGCUUAAUCACUCGGUCGUGCUUAGCUGCCGCGUUUAGCGGAACCCUUAACAACGUGACAUCCCUUUCAAAUUCAAAACAACAACAGCAACAACGUGGCAUCGCCACCAGCCCAACCCACGUCCACGACUAUGAUUUCAGCCCAUUUGUCGAAGACAUGGGUCAGGUUGAAAAGGCCACUUUAACUGGACGUGGGUUGGGCUGGUCCCCCUUCAGCCCAAUACUCAACAAAGACCUCACCUGACUAGGCCCAGCACGCUCCAUGUGGGCCUGCAGAGCAGCUCGAUUGAUCAAGGACCUACAUAACCACCGAUCGCGUUCUUACUGUGAAGGAGCCGUGAAUUUUCAUCCGUUUCACCAGAAUUUGAUUUGAAUUCUGGGGCCCGUGUCACAAAGCUAUUCCUUGCUUCUCCAAGUUUAUUUGCCCUGCAAUGUAAUGCAAUGCAUUGCAUGCUGCUGCCGCUUCGGAAACUAUUUCAAUCUGUCUCUGGUAUCCACUCUGUGAUGUCUGAUCUGAACUGGGAAAAGGCGCAAACUGAUUGGAUUCCGGCAAAAUAAAACAGGACCACUCGCCUGUUCGUCAGAUGGAACCAAUUCAAACCUCCCUUGUUACUUACCCAUCGACAAUUUUCACUAAUUCGUUUCCUUAAUUAUGUACAAUACGGAUUUCGCAAUUUCGUUUGCAACCUGAAUUAGCAUGAAAGAUGAUGCAAGCGUUAUAUAUAUGCACACAAAUAUAAUGAAUCAGGAGGAGUUCUUGAUUCAUACAUGCAUGUACCCUUUUUCCAAUGCCAAUUACAAAAUCAUGGAGCAAGAAACAGCUUGCUCUAUGUCUGUCAACUCAUCAAGAACCAAUCUCUCAAAGCCCAGCUAACAACUAACCAGCUACAGAACACAAAAACACCAAAAAGAUUUUUGUAAAGGAGAAGAGAAGAAAACAGGAUUCAUCGCUUGCUGCCGGCCUGCCGCGGCAGGAACUGAGACACGGACGGACGAGACGAGACAUCAUCGGUUGCUGCCCUAGCUAGCCUCUGCAGCGGGUGAUGGCGGAGCAGCCGCGGGAGUAAGGGUUGGCCGGCGCACCCGGCCGGCAGUUGUAGUAGGACGCGCCGCGGUACGAGCACGGCACGCGCCCCCGGCUCAUGGCGUCGUAGCUGAUGUACCCGCCGUAACCCAGCUCCCUCCUGGCCAUGCCGCACUCCUCCACCGUGCCCGUGCCCGUGCACGCCGCGCCGCGAUCGGCCCAGCUGUCCGGAUCCACCACCGUCGUCGUCGUCGUCGUCUGGCCGGCUGCCCGCGGGGCGCCCGCGGCGACGACAAGGAAGAGCGCCGCGGCAGCGACGGCGACGGCGACGGCGAGCACGGCGCGGCUCGGUGGCCGGUCGACGUGCGCCAUCCGUUUGCUAGCUGCCCCGGCGCGGCGGUGCCGGUGCGCGCGCGCGCUCGAUCUCCUCCCGCUCUGCUGCUGAGACUAACGGCUAAUGGAUCGGAAGUGAAGUGCUGGGUCGCUCGCUGUCCCUCCCUUCCCUGGAUGGCUGGAUCAUUAUCAUUUUGAUCUCGAUCCGUGACGACAUGGCAACAUGGCGCGCCUGCCGCGCGGCAUUAAUAUACGGGGAGGCGCCUUGUCCGCGCGCGCGCCGCGGCACAUGAGGCCACAGCUUCGCCGGCUGUUUCUGGCACGUCGGGGGACGGGAGCACGUGCCAACGCUCCCGUUUCCUACCAUAUCUUGCUUGGAUGUAUGCUCCAGCUAGUCCCCAAGACACGGCUAGUUUUCUGCGUCUCAUCUGCCCAUCAGAUCUGCAGGCUGCUGCGGCGCCGUUUCGGUCUGCCUUGUAGCACUUUCGUUUGACUUAGUCCGGAAACUUUUUGAAUUUUGUUACUAUAGUAUUUUCGUUUUUAUUUGAUAAAUAUUGUUCAAUCAUAGACUAACUAAUUUAAAAAAUUUAUCUCAUAAUUUACAGGUAAACUGUGCAAUUAGUUUUUAUUUUCGUUUAUAUUUAGUGUUUCAUGUGCCGCAAGAUUUGAUGUGACAGAAAAUCUUGAAAUUUUUUUUAGUUUUAGGUAUGAACUAAAUAAGGCCUAAGCAAACUAACACUUAAAAACGGAGAGGAGAGAGUAUCUAAAUAAUGUUGUACUUCAAAUACGAUCUAACUCGACUAAUUAAAAACAUGAGAUCGACUAAUAAGUAAUUGCACAGUUUAUUUAUAAUUUUUGGGACAAAUCUUUUAAACCUAGUUAGUUUAUGAUUGGACAAUAAUUAUCAAAUAAAAAUAAAAUUGCUAUAGUGUUUAAAAACUUUUCACCUCCUCAACUAAAUGUAAUGUCGCAGAGUCUAAACGGUUUAGAUCCACUCUGUACGUUGAGCGAAUGUAACACUCUGGUGUUAAGCGAACUAAAACAUGACAUGUCAUCAUGAGCAUUGCAUCAUAAAUUCGUUAAGCACACACUAAUGCAUUAACUUAAAAUAAGUUUAAAUUGGAUGAAUGUGUUUAGGAAGUAAAGUGUGUUUAUUUUAUGUAUGGAUGUUUGUUUUGGAGUUUAAAAACCUUGGGUGAAAGUUUUUCCGAAAGGCUUAGGGGGGAAACCCUAGUUUUCAAAACCCUAGAUUUGUCCCCUUUUGUGUAAUUUAAAAACUAAGCAAAAUUUGAAGUUGAGUUCAAAAGCAAAGUUGUAGAUCUUGUCAAGAUGUACAACUUUGGUGUUUUGAGUUUUUGAAGUUUCAGUACAAAAUUCAAAGUAAUUUUGAAAAUACAGAUUUCCGAAAAGUGUCCCCUUUUCAAACUUAAAUCUCCAAUUCAAAAUCUGUUUGGAAUUUUGAAAAGUGGUCAACAUGAAAGUUGUAGAGCUUGAAAAGUUGAACAACUUUCAUGUUGGGAGUUUUUCAAGUUGUUAUGCAAAAUCAAAAGUAAUUUUAGAAAUUCUGUUUUGCCCUAAUUCAAAAAUUUGGGAUUAAGCUUGAAUUUCAAACUGUUUGGCUCAAAUUCAUCCCUUUCCAUUUCAAAUUUGUCUUUGGUCACUAAAGAUGUUUUGUAGCAUUCAAAAUUCUGAGCAUUUGAUAUUUUGACAUAUUUUUAUCUUCUAUUCAAAAUCUCAGAGUAAUUUUAAGUUUUCAGAAAGGGUAUUUUGGGGAAAAGGGGGAUAAGCUCGGUCCCUGUUCAUGGCGGUGUACCGCCGAGCGUCGAUCGGCGUUUGCCGACUCGUGAACCGCCGUUUCAUCUCGUCCAAGCACGUACUCGCGUCCGUGGCAAAGUGGAGCAGCUGCUGGCGAAGUGGAGCGCGACGUGCCCUUUUCUCCCGCGAGCACCGACCUCCUUUCCGCCACCGGAGCACCGAGGAGCAGUACCCCGUCCUCAUCCAAAUUGGCCGUGCUCGAUCAUCCUCGUAUCAAAUUGAGCCAUCCACGAUGUUCGCCAUCUCCUUGCGAAUCCAGAACACCACCAAGCUCGCCCCAUAACCCUCUCAAUCGCAGAAACACCUCCAUCCUCUCCAUCUCCGGCCAGAACUGCCGCCGUGGGGCUCUUACCGUGGCCACGGUGUUCUCGUCGGUAUCACGUUUCCCUGGCAGCUGUUUCGGGUUCCUCUUGUGUUCUAGUAGCUCAUGCUCUCUCUCUUUUGCUUUGGGCACGAACAGAAUCGCCGGGACGAGCUCGCCGGAGCCGGAGCGCCCGCCCGAUCGCACUGUCUCCGUCGCCAACAACUUCAGCUACUUCUCCCACCGUGGUGACGUGAGCAUCGUGUUCCCUACACCACCUUGAACCUCCCUACGCCAUUCGUUUGCUCUCUACCGGGUCCUAGUGGCCGGCCGACAGUCGGCCAUGGCGACCGCCCGCUCCUAUCGUGGCCGAGGUGGUAGCAGUGAGGUAGAGCGUCCGCGAGUGGUACCAAUGGAGUCGCGGAGUUGAGGCGGAGCCGAUGCGCGCGCGCGCGGAGGCCGAGGGCCUCGCUAUCGGUCGCCGGAGUUGCGGCCGAGCCGCCGUGCGUGAGAGAGAGAGAUCUGACGGGUGGGGCUACCCUGUCAGUGGCUGAGAGAGAGAGAGAGCGCGCGGGCGUGCGCGGCGCGGACGCGGGCCGGGAGCAGUGGGCCGGUCUGCGGCCCAGUUUCGAAGCAACCCACUGCGCAGUGUCUUUUUUUUUUUUUUCUUUUGUGCAGUUUUUUGCUUGAUAUUUGAAAAUUGUGUAUUAAUUUGUGUAGUGAUCCAAAAAUAGUGAAACUUUUUGUAUAGCUUACAUAAAAUGGAUAGAGCCUAAGAAAAAUGUUAGGUUUGAUUUUCUGGUAAUUUUCAUGUAUACAUAAAUUGCCUUUGUUUAUUAAUGAAUAAACCUUCCUUGAUUUUUAAUAGUUCAUAGGUAUAUCCAAAAAUCAUGAAAUUUAAUAUGUGAGCUUGUGUUAAUGUUAUUUAGCUCCAUGAUUAAUUUCAGCUCUGUUUGAUCAAGUAUGCUCUGUUUCUUGAUAAAGCUAUUUAAAAUGCUUAUAAAAGAAAUAGAAAUAAUUAAUACCUUUAGGAUUUGGGUGAUAUUUUGCAUUGUUUGACAACCAUGGUUACUUAGCAUGAUAUGCUCCCUGGUUAUGGUUUAUUUUCAUGUAAAUAAUCUUUAUGGUAUGAUAGAUUCACAAUUAUUGCUUAAUAAAAAUAAUAAAGUUGGUUUAGAAGUGAUUUAUGCUUUGAUAGUUAGCUUUGUUUGUUUCUUUACCAUGAAGGUAAAGUGUACUCGAGAUAAUCAUAUUUUGUUAUAUCAUCCAAGAACAUGUAACUUGUCUUUAUCAUGCCUUGAGUAUAUCAUAAUCAUGCAUAUGCACUUUUACGUAUAGAGUACGCUCCGGAAGAAUCUGAUCCCCAGUGGGUUUCUUCCGAGUUUGUGGAUCCUUUGGGUGUUGUUGAGUUGUCGAACGUCCCCUCCGACCAAGGCAAGCCCCGGACAUUAAACCCUAUUCUUGUAUUUUCAUAAAGUUAUUUAUAUCACUUGAGUUAAUAUGAUGCAUUAGGUGAAUAGGAGUUGAGUGAAUCCUAUUUGCUGCAUUAUCUACUUUGAUGAUUUCCAUAUUAACCUUGAUACCUGCUUUAUGAAAAUGCUUAGUAUGCUUAGCCCUGCUUAUUAGAUAAGUUUUCAAAUGAAAGAGUUUGAAGGGUUGUUGUGGAAUACUUUUAUGGUUAAUAAUGUUUAAACUUGAGACCGGUCGGUGGACUUGCUUUAAGAAUGGAGUCUUAAAGUAGUGUCUCCAACUGAGUCGAUUAAGGACCGUACCGUUGAUUGGCCUGUUGUGAUUGAGACCUUUGAGUACAGCCCACAUGCGCUGGUAAGCCUUACCUAUAGCUAUUCCGAUACUUGAGAACGGCUAACCGCGUACUGGGAGUGGAAAGAUGGCGAGAGUAGCGUGUACCCACCUUACGGAUCUGAGAUGACCGGGAAACAUCUAGAUUGGCCGUAGGAUGGUGGUGUACUGUACUCUCGGGUGACGCUGGACCCGUUCUUGUAUGGGAGGAUCUAUAGAAAAGGUUGACAUAUGCAAGAUUAAGUUCUACAUAUGUCGUGUGGUACUGAAUCCCCAGCUGGGUUUAAUCGAUUCGAAUCGCCGUGUUUCCUCGGAUAUGGAGUCUCAAUCCUCGUACCAUCAUCGUAGUAAUAAGUGAAUCUUGGUAUAAGAAAGAUAUGGUUUACUUAUGAAAGUUUGAUAAUAGUUUUGAUUAGUCAUAAAUGAUAAUCCUGAGUUAAAACUUGAAAGUAGGUUUUACUCUUAGUAAGCUUUUAUGCAAAAAGAAAUGCUUUGAUCUUGUUAAAGCUUUACCUUGAAUCCCUAUAGCCUGCAUACCUGAGUCUUCACCUCUUUUAUAGUCGGUUAAGUCUUGUUGAGUACUUUUGUACUCAGGGUUUCUUAACCCAUGUUGCAGGUGAGUCUUUUGAUAAUCCUUUUGAUGGUCAUGGUUACUUUACUCUUGUGGAGGAGAGUGACGAUGAGGAUCCUGAUGUGUGACCUUGGGCAAGUAAAAACUUAUUGUGUGAUCUAUGGUUUAUGUAAUAUAAAGUUCCGAAGCUUUUAUGUAUCAAAUACUUAUGGUUUGUAAACUAUGAACUUAAGUUUCAAUCUAUGUUAUGUAACCUUUCCGCUUUUACUCUGAUUUCUCUUAUCUAUGAAAUGUUGUAAUACUGCGAUGCUUGAUGAGGGAAUUCCUGAAAAGAAUGUUACGUGGAUGAUUCGGGUUUCCCGAGGACACCCGACAGACUUCUUGAGUCAUUUGGAACUCGUGCACGUCGAUCAGAAGUCUUUGGGACAAUGAUGUGUGCAUGUGGGCCACUUAAUUCAGGAGGUUCUGCCACAGCUGGUAUCAGAGCAGGUUUCCCUUAGAAAGUAUAGCAGUAUUCGAUUUAGAAAACUUCAAAAGCUUUUGAGUCAAACCAAAUUUCAAAUUAGUUUGAGUCCAAGUUGCUUCUAAGCUUGUCUUAUGCUUCUAACUUGUCUCAAUUCAUUCUGUAGACUUAUCCUUCUAUCCAAAUGGAUAUGUUCUUAGUAUAAUUAUGGUAAUAUUUAUAUAUAAGGAACAAUGCUUAUGAUAUUAUAAUAUUGCCCUAAUUAUGAAAAGAAAGUUUAUGCACUUUUAUGUUAAGUGACUAAUUUAAAGCUAAUUAAUUGUUUGAUGUAUGCUUUGUUCGUAAGUACGUUUCAUGCAUCAUUAUUGAUAACAUGUAAUUAACUUUCCUCCUUAGAGUUGUUAAUAAUUAGAGGUAAUAUGUCCAUCUAAUUGUAAAACUCUAUUCUUUAACCUUGGAACAUAUAUAGUUCUAAUAUUCAAAAUAAAAAUAUUUUGGCAGAUGGCACGUACCCGCCUAACCGCUCGCAAGUCCACCGGAGGUCGUGUCCCCAGGCACCAGUUGGCAUCAAGGGAUCCGCCACCAUCCGACAACAGCGACAGCAGCACUGACAACUCUAGCGACGGAAACGGGAGUGACACCAGCGGAGGUCCUCCUUCGCCAAGGACCUACAGGCUUAUGAAGAAUGAUCUGCGCCUGAUGCUCACUGACAACAUCAAUAUGGAAGUUCAGCUGUACCAUAUGGCGGGGUAUGUGGUCACUCUUGAAGCCUAUGCCAACACCCUCCAUGAGGAAGUGCACCAGCUGCAGGAUGCUCUCAAUCCACCCGAGGCUUCUGAAGCAGCAGAGGAAGGACCAGUUGUCAUCCAAGUGGAUAGUGAUACUUCUGAGGAUGAAGCAGAGGAACCAGGAACUCCCACUCCAGAUGAGGGUGUUACCACCAGUGAGUCGGAGAUGGAUGACGACUAGGUGUUGAAAAGGCAAGAAGUAUGACCGAGUGUGAUCUUCUGACUUUGUAACUUAGUUAGUCAGAAAACCUCUAGUAUGGGAAGUGUGUAAGAUAGUGGUUUCGGAAGUCCUGCCCAGGAGCGGACUUGUAUGAUAAAUAAGAUGAACUGUUUGUGCUAUGUAAGCCAUGAUGUAUGAUGUUUAAGUAAGUAUGUUAAUUAAAGUGUGAUGUGUUUUUAAACAGAUGUCUGCUAACAACCAUGGAGCUAGUUCGUCCCAGGGUGGGGAUGAUUUUCCCAAUGCACCACCAGUUCCACCCUCUUUGGCUGAUGCAAUUGCAGCAUUGGUCAAUGCAACAACUCUGUUAGCACAAAACCAGAAUGUUGGUCAGCGUGGCCGUGGUCGCAAUAACCGAGAAGAAACCACAUAUGUUGACUUCACAGAUACUCGUCCCCCAGUUUUCACAAAAGCCGAUGAACCUCUUGAAGCUGAGGAUUGGCUUCGCACUAUGGAACAAAAGUUCAGUCUCAUCAACUGUACUGAAACUCAGAAGCCAGCUUUCGCCGCUCAGCAGCUGAGAGGAGCAGCAGGGGUUUGGUGGGAAAACUUACUGGCUGUUCAACCAGCCCGCCACCGAAUCACUUGGGGAGAAUUCAAGGAAGCCUUCAGGGCUCAUUACAUUCCCAAGGGAGUUAUGAAAAUGAAGCUCGAAGAGUUCUUAGCUCUCCGUCAGGGGGAUGACUCAGUCAUACAGUAUAUUGGAAAGUUUAAUCAUCUGUCCCAAUAUGCAAUUGAGCAAGUCAACACUGAUGAAAAGAAGAAGGAUUGUUUCAUGAGAGGCUUGAAUACAAAGCUUCAACUGAUGAUGGCAUCAUGUGGCAAUAUAUCUUAUCAUGAGGCAGUGAACAUUGCUAUCUCCAGUGAAGAAAAGAACCGCAAACAUAAGGAGGCUAAGAAGAAGAAGGGGUUUGUCUCAGGGUCUGGAUCAUCUGGCGGCAACAAGAAGCGCCAGAGGCUCAUAUAUCACCCAGCUCAGCAGUUCCGCCCAUCUUACCGCCCUCCUUAUCAGCCACCUCAGCAACAGAAUAUGCAGAGGAGUUUUGCAAGGCCGCCAAUGCCAUUCAAUGUUCAACGUCAGCCAAAUGUUCCUGCCGUCCGUCCGCCAGUGCCACAAGCUGCAAACAACCCUUGCUAUAAUUGUGGGAAGAGUGGACAUUUUUCUCGUGAAUGUCCAUAUCCAAGGCAAAAUGUUCCAAAUGUCAAUGCACCAAGACCAGUUGGAAAUCAGCAAGCAAAUCAGAACAAAGGUCAUGCCCAGAAUCAGCAGAAGGGUAAGGGUACUCAGAAAACAGGAAGGGUUUUCCAUACUCAAGUUGAAGCUAUACCUGAGGGAGAACCAGUGAUGCUUGGUAUGUUCCCUGUUGCCCAACACCCAGCGCUUACACUUUUUGAUUCUGGUGCAUCACAUACUUUCAUGAAUAGAACAUUUGCGGAAAAGCAUAAUAUACCUAUUGGUGCAACCAAAGAUGAGUUCUUUAUACAGUCACCUGGGGGUCGACUAUGCACUAAGGAAAUGGUACAUCAGGUGCCAAUAGACUUGGGUGGAUAUAUAUUUCCAACAUCCAUGAUAGUGUUAAAAGAUCCGAGUAUAGAUGUGAUCUUGGGUAUGAACUGGAUGAGUCAGAGAGGUGCAGUUAUAGACACCUUAAAUAGAACCAUCAAGGUCUACUUAUCUAAUAGCAAGUCUCAACUUCUUAUCCAUCUUCCUACCCUUAAGAAAGCAGUUGAGCAAGUGUGUGCUAUCUCUGUCAAGGAAAUCAAGGAUAUUCCAGUGGUCUGUGAGUUUCCUGAUGUGUUUCCAGAAGAUUUACCGGGUCUGCCACCUGAUCGUGAUGUGGAGUUUGAGAUAGAACUCAAGCCAGGGACAGCACCAAUAUCUAGAAGAGCUUAUAGAAUGCCACCAAAAGAAUUAGCAGAAUUAAAAACUCAGUUGCAAGAAUUGAUGGAUAAGGGUUUCAUUCGACCUAGUUCAUCACCAUGGGGUUGUCCGGCAAUCUUUGUGAAGAAAAAGGAUAAUACCUUGAGGCUAUGUGUGGACUAUCGUCCUUUGAAUGAAGUAACAAUCAAGAAUAAGUAUCCUUUGCCCCGUAUUGAUCUUCUCUUUGAUCAACUAACUGGUGCUAAGGUAUUUUCAAAGAUAGACUUGAGAUCUGGGUAUCAUCAAAUUAAGAUCAAGCCAAAAGAUGUUCCGAAAACAGCAUUCACUACCCGAUAUGGUCUGUAUGAAUAUCUGGUCAUGUCUUUUGGUCUGACAAAUGCCCCAGCACAUUUUAUGUAUUUGAUGAAUUCAGUGUUCAUGCCAGAGUUAGAUAAGUUCGUGGUGGUAUUCAUUGAUGACAUUCUCAUCUAUUCCAAAACUAAAGAAGAACAUGAAGAGCAUCUCAGGAUAGUGUUAACUCGCCUGAGAGAACAUCAAUUAUAUGCUAAGUUUAGCAAGUGUGAAUUCUGGAUAGAUGAAGUUCAAUUUUUGGGUCAUGUCCUGUCAGCUGAAGGUGUUGCAGUAGACCCAAGCAAAGUUCAAGAAGUUCUUGACUGGAAGUCACCAACUUCAGUACAUCAAGUUCGGAGUUUCUUAGGAUUGGUGGGGUAUUAUCGCAGGUUUAUCCCUGACUUCUCCAAGAUCUCUAAACCAAUGACAACACUGCUAAAGAAUGAUACCAAGUUUGUGUGGUCAUCCGAGUGUGAAGAAGCUUUUCGGACUUUGAAAAAGUUGUUGACCACUGCACCAGUGCUAGCUCAACCUGAUAUUGAAAAAUCUUUUGAUGUGUAUUGUGAUGCUUCAGGCAAAGGCAUCGGGUGUGUACUAAUGCAAGAAGGCAGAGUCAUUGCAUAUGCUUCACGACAACUUAAGCGUCAUGAAGAGCAUUAUCCAACCCAUGAUCUAGAGUUGGCAGCUGUAGUCCAUGCUCUGAAGAUCUGGCGACAUUAUCUAUUGGGCAAUACUUGUCACAUAUAUACUGAUCAUAAGAGUUUGAAAUAUAUCUUUACUCAGUCAAAGUUGAAUAUGCGUCAGAGAAGAUGGUUAGAACUGAUAAAAGAUUAUGAUAUUGAGGUACAUUAUCACCCAGGCAAAGCCAAUGUAGUGGCAGAUGCACUCAGCCGAAAGAGCCAUUGCAAUUGUCUGGAAGUUAAGCCGAUAAACCUUACCUUGUGUUAUGAAUUUGAAAAGUUAAGUCUUGAAAUGAUUCCACAAGGAAGUCUUGCAAAUAUGACAGUUCAGUCAUCUAUCAAAGAUCAAAUUAUUACAGCCCAACAAGAAAAUAAGGGUAUAAUCUUUUUGAAAAGAAAGGUUCAGUCUGAACCAAAUUCUAAGUUCAGAAUAGAUGAAGUUGGAGUGAUUUGGUUCAAGGAUCGUUUAGUAGUUCCAAAGGUCCCUGAACUCAGAAAACAAAUUCUUGAUGAAGCUCAUGCAACAAAACUUUCAAUCCAUCCAGGUAGUAAUAAGAUGUAUCAUGAUCUAAAACAAAGAUUCUGGUGGACUAAGAUGAAGCUUGAAAUUGCUAGUUAUGUGGCUAGAUGUGAUACUUGUCAAAAGGUGAAAGCAGUUCAUCUUAGGUCUGCGGGAGAAUUGCAACCAUUGCCAAUUCCAUCUUGGAAAUGGGAUGACAUUAGUAUGGACUUCAUAGUGGGUCUACCCAGAACCUCGAGAGGGUUUGAUUCCAUAUGGGUCAUUGUUGAUCGUCUGACCAAAUCGGCCCAUUUCAUUCCAGUAAGAAAGGAUUAUCGAGCUUCUGACUAUGCUAAGAUAUACUUUAACAGAAUUGUGAGUCUACAUGGUGUUCCAAAGACUAUUGUAUCUGAUAGAGGGACACAAUUUGUGAAUGCUUUCUGGAAGCAUUUGCAUAAGUCCUUAGGUACCAAACUUCUGCAUAGUACAGCUUAUCAUCCACAAACUGGAGGUCAGACUGAAAGAGUCAACCAGAUCUUGGAAGAUAUGUUAAGAUCUUGUGUGCUCAGUUAUUCAGAGAAGUGGCACGAAUGUUUGCCUUUAGCAGAAUUCUCUUAUAAUAAUAGUUAUCAAGAGAGCAUUAAGAUGGCACCAUUCGAAGCUCUAUAUGGCAGAAGGUGUAGGACACCUUUGAAUUGGUCCGAACCUGGAGAACAUAGUCUUUUCGGGGUUGACUUAGUCAGAGAAGCCGAAGAGAAAGUCAGGCUCAUUCGAGAGAAUAUGAAGAUAGCACAGUCGAGACAAAAGAGUUAUGCUGAUAAGAGACGCCGGUCUCUUAGCUUUGAGGUUGGUGAUUAUGUAUACCUCAAAGUAUCACCUAUGAAAGGAGUCACUCGAUUUGGAGUAAAAGGAAAGUUGGCACCUCGAUAUAUAGGUCCGUAUCAAAUCCUUGAAAGAUGUGGGAAGGUGGCAUAUCGUCUAGAUUUACCACCACAGUUGUUAUCAGUACACAAUGUGUUCCAUGUCUCUCAAUUGAAGAAAUGUCUCCGAGUGCCUGAUCAUAUCAUUCAUGUUGAAGAAAUUGAGUUAAAGCCUGAUCUGACAUAUUCAGAGUAUCCUAUCAAGAUUUUGGAUCAAAAAGAUCGAGUCACUCGUAGAAGAACUAUCAAAUACUACAAGGUGCAAUGGAAUCAACAUACCGAAGAUGAAGCCACGUGGGAAUCCGAAGAGUUUCUCUUAGAAAGUUUUCCUGAGUUUCUUUCUUCUGUCUUAUCCUUGUAAUCUUUAGUGUUAUGAUCUACCCCUGUUUUUGUAAAGGUUGGUUUUAGAAGUGCUUGACAAACUUCCUUUUCUAUUAGUUAGACUUUAAGGUAAAUCUCGGGACGAGAUUUCUUUAAGGGGGAAAGAGCUGUAACACUCUGGUGUUAAGCGAACUAAAACAUGACAUGUCAUCAUGAGCAUUGCAUCAUAAAUUCGUUAAGCACACACUAAUGCAUUAACUUAAAAUAAGUUUAAAUUGGAUGAAUGUGUUUAGGAAGUAAAGUGUGUUUAUUUUAUGUAUGGAUGUUUGUUUUGGAGUUUAAAAACCUUGGGUGAAAGUUUUUCCGAAAGGCUUAGGGGGGAAACCCUAGUUUUCAAAACCCUAGAUUUGUCCCCUUUUGUGUAAUUUAAAAACUAAGCAAAAUUUGAAGUUGAGUUCAAAAGCAAAGUUGUAGAUCUUGUCAAGAUGUACAACUUUGGUGUUUUGAGUUUUUGAAGUUUCAGUACAAAAUUCAAAGUAAUUUUGAAAAUACAGAUUUCCGAAAAGUGUCCCCUUUUCAAACUUAAAUCUCCAAUUCAAAAUCUGUUUGGAAUUUUGAAAAGUGGUCAACAUGAAAGUUGUAGAGCUUGAAAAGUUGAACAACUUUCAUGUUGGGAGUUUUUCAAGUUGUUAUGCAAAAUCAAAAGUAAUUUUAGAAAUUCUGUUUUGCCCUAAUUCAAAAAUUUGGGAUUAAGCUUGAAUUUCAAACUGUUUGGCUCAAAUUCAUCCCUUUCCAUUUCAAAUUUGUCUUUGGUCACUAAAGAUGUUUUGUAGCAUUCAAAAUUCUGAGCAUUUGAUAUUUUGACAUAUUUUUAUCUUCUAUUCAAAAUCUCAGAGUAAUUUUAAGUUUUCAGAAAGGGUAUUUUGGGGAAAAGGGGGAUAAGCUCGGUCCCUGUUCAUGGCGGUGUACCGCCGAGCGUCGAUCGGCGUUUGCCGACUCGUGAACCGCCGUUUCAUCUCGUCCAAGCACGUACUCGCGUCCGUGGCAAAGUGGAGCAGCUGCUGGCGAAGUGGAGCGCGACGUGCCCUUUUCUCCCGCGAGCACCGACCUCCUUUCCGCCACCGGAGCACCGAGGAGCAGUACCCCGUCCUCAUCCAAAUUGGCCGUGCUCGAUCAUCCUCGUAUCAAAUUGAGCCAUCCACGAUGUUCGCCAUCUCCUUGCGAAUCCAGAACACCACCAAGCUCGCCCCAUAACCCUCUCAAUCGCAGAAACACCUCCAUCCUCUCCAUCUCCGGCCAGAACUGCCGCCGUGGGGCUCUUACCGUGGCCACGGUGUUCUCGUCGGUAUCACGUUUCCCUGGCAGCUGUUUCGGGUUCCUCUUGUGUUCUAGUAGCUCAUGCUCUCUCUCUUUUGCUUUGGGCACGAACAGAAUCGCCGGGACGAGCUCGCCGGAGCCGGAGCGCCCGCCCGAUCGCACUGUCUCCGUCGCCAACAACUUCAGCUACUUCUCCCACCGUGGUGACGUGAGCAUCGUGUUCCCUACACCACCUUGAACCUCCCUACGCCAUUCGUUUGCUCUCUACCGGGUCCUAGUGGCCGGCCGACAGUCGGCCAUGGCGACCGCCCGCUCCUAUCGUGGCCGAGGUGGUAGCAGUGAGGUAGAGCGUCCGCGAGUGGUACCAAUGGAGUCGCGGAGUUGAGGCGGAGCCGAUGCGCGCGCGCGCGGAGGCCGAGGGCCUCGCUAUCGGUCGCCGGAGUUGCGGCCGAGCCGCCGUGCGUGAGAGAGAGAGAUCUGACGGGUGGGGCUACCCUGUCAGUGGCUGAGAGAGAGAGAGAGCGCGCGGGCGUGCGCGGCGCGGACGCGGGCCGGGAGCAGUGGGCCGGUCUGCGGCCCAGUUUCGAAGCAACCCACUGCGCAGUGUCUUUUUUUUUUUUUUCUUUUGUGCAGUUUUUUGCUUGAUAUUUGAAAAUUGUGUAUUAAUUUGUGUAGUGAUCCAAAAAUAGUGAAACUUUUUGUAUAGCUUACAUAAAAUGGAUAGAGCCUAAGAAAAAUGUUAGGUUUGAUUUUCUGGUAAUUUUCAUGUAUACAUAAAUUGCCUUUGUUUAUUAAUGAAUAAACCUUCCUUGAUUUUUAAUAGUUCAUAGGUAUAUCCAAAAAUCAUGAAAUUUAAUAUGUGAGCUUGUGUUAAUGUUAUUUAGCUCCAUGAUUAAUUUCAGCUCUGUUUGAUCAAGUAUGCUCUGUUUCUUGAUAAAGCUAUUUAAAAUGCUUAUAAAAGAAAUAGAAAUAAUUAAUACCUUUAGGAUUUGGGUGAUAUUUUGCAUUGUUUGACAACCAUGGUUACUUAGCAUGAUAUGCUCCCUGGUUAUGGUUUAUUUUCAUGUAAAUAAUCUUUAUGGUAUGAUAGAUUCACAAUUAUUGCUUAAUAAAAAUAAUAAAGUUGGUUUAGAAGUGAUUUAUGCUUUGAUAGUUAGCUUUGUUUGUUUCUUUACCAUGAAGGUAAAGUGUACUCGAGAUAAUCAUAUUUUGUUAUAUCAUCCAAGAACAUGUAACUUGUCUUUAUCAUGCCUUGAGUAUAUCAUAAUCAUGCAUAUGCACUUUUACGUAUAGAGUACGCUCCGGAAGAAUCUGAUCCCCAGUGGGUUUCUUCCGAGUUUGUGGAUCCUUUGGGUGUUGUUGAGUUGUCGAACGUCCCCUCCGACCAAGGCAAGCCCCGGACAUUAAACCCUAUUCUUGUAUUUUCAUAAAGUUAUUUAUAUCACUUGAGUUAAUAUGAUGCAUUAGGUGAAUAGGAGUUGAGUGAAUCCUAUUUGCUGCAUUAUCUACUUUGAUGAUUUCCAUAUUAACCUUGAUACCUGCUUUAUGAAAAUGCUUAGUAUGCUUAGCCCUGCUUAUUAGAUAAGUUUUCAAAUGAAAGAGUUUGAAGGGUUGUUGUGGAAUACUUUUAUGGUUAAUAAUGUUUAAACUUGAGACCGGUCGGUGGACUUGCUUUAAGAAUGGAGUCUUAAAGUAGUGUCUCCAACUGAGUCGAUUAAGGACCGUACCGUUGAUUGGCCUGUUGUGAUUGAGACCUUUGAGUACAGCCCACAUGCGCUGGUAAGCCUUACCUAUAGCUAUUCCGAUACUUGAGAACGGCUAACCGCGUACUGGGAGUGGAAAGAUGGCGAGAGUAGCGUGUACCCACCUUACGGAUCUGAGAUGACCGGGAAACAUCUAGAUUGGCCGUAGGAUGGUGGUGUACUGUACUCUCGGGUGACGCUGGACCCGUUCUUGUAUGGGAGGAUCUAUAGAAAAGGUUGACAUAUGCAAGAUUAAGUUCUACAUAUGUCGUGUGGUACUGAAUCCCCAGCUGGGUUUAAUCGAUUCGAAUCGCCGUGUUUCCUCGGAUAUGGAGUCUCAAUCCUCGUACCAUCAUCGUAGUAAUAAGUGAAUCUUGGUAUAAGAAAGAUAUGGUUUACUUAUGAAAGUUUGAUAAUAGUUUUGAUUAGUCAUAAAUGAUAAUCCUGAGUUAAAACUUGAAAGUAGGUUUUACUCUUAGUAAGCUUUUAUGCAAAAAGAAAUGCUUUGAUCUUGUUAAAGCUUUACCUUGAAUCCCUAUAGCCUGCAUACCUGAGUCUUCACCUCUUUUAUAGUCGGUUAAGUCUUGUUGAGUACUUUUGUACUCAGGGUUUCUUAACCCAUGUUGCAGGUGAGUCUUUUGAUAAUCCUUUUGAUGGUCAUGGUUACUUUACUCUUGUGGAGGAGAGUGACGAUGAGGAUCCUGAUGUGUGACCUUGGGCAAGUAAAAACUUAUUGUGUGAUCUAUGGUUUAUGUAAUAUAAAGUUCCGAAGCUUUUAUGUAUCAAAUACUUAUGGUUUGUAAACUAUGAACUUAAGUUUCAAUCUAUGUUAUGUAACCUUUCCGCUUUUACUCUGAUUUCUCUUAUCUAUGAAAUGUUGUAAUACUGCGAUGCUUGAUGAGGGAAUUCCUGAAAAGAAUGUUACGUGGAUGAUUCGGGUUUCCCGAGGACACCCGACAGACUUCUUGAGUCAUUUGGAACUCGUGCACGUCGAUCAGAAGUCUUUGGGACAAUGAUGUGUGCAUGUGGGCCACUUAAUUCAGGAGGUUCUGCCACAGCGAACCACGCCUACCACCAUCCUACUUACGCUUUUAUCUUCGCUUCACGUAAAUAGGAUGGUGGUAGGUCGGUUCGCUCAGCGUGUAGAUUAGAUCUAAACAGUUUGGACUCUAGGGUGUUACAAAUGGUAUCAGAGCCGACCUUCAUGACCACGCGUGCGGGUCAGAGCGCGGACAUGGGGUUCAUUGUGCAUGUAGGCCCCCUGCGGGAUGCACGACAUGACACAUGUGUUGGCACUGGACGUACGGUCGUGUGUACUAAGAGGGAACGUUCCUAGUCAUCAUUUGCCCGAUUGUGGGUAUGUUGAGUCGACGAGGAUGUCGGGUCCUUUGAGGGGGGUGUUUGUCACACCCAGCCUAAUUUGAAAUUUGGCCUGUGAUGGCUCAUUUGCAUAUUAUAAGAUAAUUAUGGAGGGUUUAGUCUCACCUUGGUUGUUAAGAGUGAGUUUUAGACCAACAUAUAAGGCUUCUAAAGUCAAUCCCAUGAUAUUCGCGUUAAUCCUUUUACACGAAGCGAGAACGAAAACGUAAGUAGGAAGGUGGUAGGUGUGGUUCGUUCAACGUGUAGAGUGGAUCUAAACCGUUUGGACUAAUCUAUUCGUGAGGUACGGUGACUUCACACUAAAUAUUGAUGACCUUGAUGGAGCGGGGCUAAAAUGGUACUCGAGCAACGACACAACAAUCACAAUUAUAGUGGAUAUAUUAUUGUGACCGAAGUACAAUAGUAACAAAGACCUUCGAUGGAACACACGAUGCACAAAAUUAAAUAACAAAGACCUUCUGAGUAUGGAGCUACCCGAUGCUCAGGGAAAAUAUACCUACACUCGAUGCCAGCAGAACCCGUUGGGCUCAAAGCUCUUGGCGGAGAACUUCUAUACACGCAUGGAGCUCUCUCUCUCAGAUCCGUUGGAUCAUCGGUGCUUGAAUCUGAAACAAAGCACAGGGGCAUGUUAUAAGUCUUCUACGGAUUCUAUAUAUCAAUAUGACACUUAAGUGAUAGGAGUUUAGCAUCAUGGUCUGUGGUGCCGACCUUGAUGCCAUAUAGAUAUUGCCGUCCACCUCGGCACCCUAGAUCAUAGCGCCAAGGUGGGGAACUAAAAUUUGCACGUGUGCCAUCCCAGGCCGUCAGCCCUUUCUUCCUCCCUAUCCUCUCAUCAUGAGUUUAUUUGACCAUGAAAUAAGAUUGAUGUGUGCUUGAUUACUAUUACUGUGUUUUAGGAUUACAGUGUACUUCAUUCAUUUUGUAAUAUAGUGCAUUCUAGCAUUUAAAAUUUAUCCUCAAAUAAUAUAAUACAUUUUAGAGGACAACAACCAAUUCUACAUUAAAUACUUUUUAUUUUAUCAACCAAUCAUAAUCAUGUUGAUGAUAGCGUCUGACUAGGAAUAAAAUCAAGAUAUAUGCGUAUUUUAUGUUCCCUCUUAAUUUGUUUUAAAAUUUUUAGAAUGCACUCAAGAUGGAGGGAGUAGGUCCUUGGUUUAUGGAUUAAUUAUUCGUAGUUGUUCAUUUUGAGAUUAUCCUAUAUAAAAUAUCAGUUUUUUGUAUGAAGUAGAUGGACAAGCUUGUAAGCUUGCAUCACGGAGCUAGGUGGAGACUGGUAAGUAUGGUUAUGUUGUGUUGAGUUUAAUGGAAUGCAAAGGUUUCUAUGGUCUUCAGGACUCGACCAUCACUUAGGUAGUAUGGGCAAGCUUGUAACCUUGCAUGAGCAUUUAGUUCAGGAAACUGUGAGCUAGCUCUGUACAUAGACAUCACUUACUGCAAGCUGCUUUCUAGUCUUUCAUGAUAAACACAAGGGCCGCUUUCUACUUCCACACGAUCUCUUAAAACAUGCAUGCAUGCGCAUAUAUAUGUGUUUGCUCUUAUUACAUCGCUCAACUAGCUGCUCAUACACGACACUCAGUUGGAUCGGAUACUUUCAAAUUGGGCGUGUACCGAGCGGCAUCUCAUCCCCAGAUGACAACUUGCCUCCUGGGCAUUCAAAGGUACACGUGCAUCGUCGGAUAAAAAGGAUCCAGCCUUUGCAAUACCCGCCGAUACCGAGGUCAUGUUGAACGCAUGAGUUCGCACAGUCCUUAUUGCUCACGCAUCGUCCGUGGUAAAAACCAUUAGUCCUCGAGCAGAUAGCUGCUUCCGCACCUACGUAAAAUCAUAAACCGCUCGGUGGUUAAUUUAGGAACAUAUGCACCAUACAUACUCUUGAAAAAAGCUUCAUAGUAAUAUAUAUAUAUAUAGCUCCGAGGUACCGGAGGUAUAUAUGUCACCAAGUGUCCAGAUAGAAGUAGUUUUCCUUUAGUAUUUCAACAAACUUCAUAAGCAGAAAGGUUUGUUUUAGUUUUUACUUACAAUAGGUCACAAGGAGCAAGGCGAGGAUGAAGACAACAGGCACCGCUACAAUCUUGUUAGAUGCCAUGGUUAUUUGGUGUGAGGAAAAGAGCAUAUACAUGUUCAAUAUUUAUAGUGGUUGCUUGAUCUGGCCUGCGAAGGUGACUAUUCAAACUCAAUUCACAAUUUAAGCAUUUGUAGCAGCAUUCGAAUUUUUCCUACAAUUUAAGCAUUAGUAAUAAUUAGUAUCCUUAUUAUAUGUGUCAACAUAAUUUGGUAUUUAGAAAACGAUUAGUGUGUUCUAUUUCUAUGAACUCUGUAAGGGUAGGUGUUAAUUUAAUCUAUACACGCUACAAUCAUUUUUAUUUUAUUAAUCUAUUCUAAAAUCAGAGAAAUGUUUGCAUUUCUAGAUGGAGUAGUUUUUUUCAUUGGCUGUUGGCAGUUACAUUCAGCCGUAUAUAUCUAUUUGUGUAUCCAUCCAUCUACAUCCGGAUCCCUAACAGCAUUGCUUUGGAUUCAAGAAAUAGUGAUGUUACUCGUUUGCUUUCGCUUCACUUUCAAGAUAUGAGAAGUUGUUUAUCUUGUUCCUAGCGAUACUAGAGUUUUAGAGAUUUAUCUUUGAAAACAUAAAAAUCUUACAUGAUGAGCUCCUGUACGAUAAAGCUUGAAUUCCUACCGAAGCCAUAUAUGAUAGAUUAGAAAAAAAAACUUUCACUCAUACAUAUAUGCUACUUGCUUUGCAUUGAGUUUGGUCAAGCUUUGUUGAUGCCUUAUGAGAGGUUCGUCAUGCUUUUGAAAUCAAGACCACGUACACACCACCAUAUAUGCAUUAUUCCUACACUAGGAGUAGGUGCAACAACAUGUCAUUCCAUCUAUAUUAACCUGAAAAUAUUUUACGCCUACACUGGGAGUGAAUAUCAAAAAUAUUUUCUAUAGGACAGCCCCCAAACAUAGCAGCCAUGAUCUUGUUCCCGUUUCCAGAAUGAGAACGAGAACAAAAACUUGGGGUAUUAUUUAUAACAUGGGGACAGGAAUAUUUACGUUUCCGAAACGUGGAACAUGGAAACGGGAAUGUGGAUCAUGUUUCCGUUCCUAGGUUGCUAAGCUGCCAAAUAUUUCUCUAAAUUAUUCCUGCUAUCUCUCAAAAGUUUUGUUAUAAAACGAGACAUGUGGCUAUUGAAAAAGUUAUUUGAAAAAAAAGUACUAAAAAAGAAUGGACAAGUGUCCAAGAUAUUAAACAAUGGAUACUCUGAUACCCAUCUAAAAAGAGAGAGAAGAGAAAGAAUGAUAAAUAAAGAUAGCUCAUAUUUUCUUAUAAAGUUAUUUCUAAGUUCCAAUAGAGAAAUAUGUUUUCAAGGAGCAAAGUAGAAUUAGGAUUAGCCACUAUCUUGAUUUGAUUGUAUGACUAAAUAUGCCUUUGACCACACAUAAUCUUCGAUCAAGAUGGGGUUAGAAUGGAAAAACUAACAAGCGCCAUCAUCAGUGCAAGAUGCUAACAAUAUAAAGCAAUAAGAUGACAAUUCAAGGAGAUAAAUAAAGUGGAUCUAACUCAAUCUUAACCAGGCAAGGGAUUCGUGUCAAAAUCUAUACGAGGUUAGACCUAAGUGAUGCAGUUGUGCGGAUUUUGAUAAGAAUCAAAGGAUAACGUACUAUCAGAAAUCAUAAAAGAUCAAACUUAACUGAGAUAAUCUUACCAUUAACUUAAGCGACGAUAACUAACUUAUACAAAGCUUGCAAGAGGUCAGACUUAACCGAUGCAACCGAACAAGAGAUGAGUCAUGAUGGAUACUCAUAGACAAACCGAAGGUUGGACAUGACCGAUGCAGCUCUGCUCGCCGAAGAACUCAUCAAAAUCUCCUCUACUUCUCUUAAGGGGUGGCCGAAACCGAGAAAGUAUAGGCAAGGUUUUGGGAUUCAAAACGCUAAAAAAUUCGGUGGUCGCUGAAUUUGACGAAAUUCAGAAAUUUCGGACCAGUUUUCAGUUAAGUUGACCAGUCAAUUUUUUUGUGUUUACCCAAAUUUUGACCGAAAUUUGACUGAAUUGUAACAAAUUUUGUCCAAUUUUUUUUUAUAAAAAAGAGAACAGAAAAGAAAUCUGUUAAAAACGAUGAAGCAAUGUACCAGGCUUUGAUCAAGGCUUUAAAACAAUUAAUACUUCAAUAGUUUUCAAACACAUAGGCUACAGCCAACACAAAUUUAAUUUCACAAUAGCCCAAAAAGGCAUAACAUAAACUGAGCCAAUAUUUAGACAAUACAGUCUUUAGGAGUUUGUUCAUAGCUCCAUAAAUAGCAGGGGAUAUCAGUAGGCUAGUAUGGACCUUGGGCUGGACCGAAAAUUUAAAUUGGGCUGAAAUAAUUUGGCUGGUUCAAUUCUUUCUCGGGCUUGUCCGAAUUGGACGAAAACCACAGAAUUUCGGGCCUUUCGGGUCGAAUCCCAAAUCCUUGAUUAUAGAUAAUUUAGGUAAUUGAAAAUUCAGGUAAUAGAAAUUGCUAUCUAAUUUACCUCUAAAAACACUACCGCAAAUUCGGGUACACAAUAAUUCAAGUUAAGGUUCAGGUAUUCCCAAUCUAUCCGAAAUUCAGAUAACUCAGCAAUCUGUACAGGCGUGGUGGUGCGCUGGUGCUGACGCCGGCCACCGGGUAGUGGUGCCCUGGUGUGGGAGCUUAGCCGCACAGGGGCUCGGGCACAGGCGCACAUCACAGCCAAGGUCGAGGUCAGGCACAACACAGCCGGGUCCGAGGUCGCCGGUAUGGAAGCUCGGCCAUGCGGGACAGUGAACGGUCGUGCAUCCAGACUGGAUGUCGCGGAGGGUUGCUGGCGGCCGAGCGUCGAGCCUGCGGUCAUGCGGCUGGGGUUCUACUGCUCCGCUCGGGGAUAGUCAACAAGUGGAGUUGAGGGAUUGUGGACUCCUGGACGGGAUUACGAUGGCCUCACGGAGUCACGGGGCUGCUUUGUGCUGGACUGCCCGUAGACACAUAUAGAGUGAAGCGGAAUCAUGAGCGGUUGAGAGAAUGGGUUGGUGAGACUUGCUUGCUUCCCUAGGGAGAUCAGGGGUGGCGUGGUUGUCGUUAGUCUUACAGCGACAGUGAAGGAAGGGAGGACACGAGGCGCACCGACGAGCCAGCGCAGCAAGGAGUGAGAGGGCGCAGAGAGUAGGGAUAUCUUAGGACAGAGGAAGCGCAGGGCUGGGCGGCCACGCGAACUGGCAGUGGAGGCGUCCAUCGGCUUAAGGACGGGAAAGAAGUGGGGACUCACCGGCCGGAAUUGGGGAAGAAGCGGGCGACCUCUAGCCAGGGAGCUCGGCCGCCCGGCGAGAUCCGCCCAGCCACCACGCGGGCGAGCGCACCCUUGAUGCCGCCGAGGGAGGAGGAGAAGGAGUCACUCGGGUAAGCUCAGAACGAGGCAGAGGCGUGCGGCCAGUCGGAGCUCGACGACCACCGGUAGCGAGUGCUGGGGAACUGCUCUGGUUAGAUGGUGCAUUGAAGACGAUGCAGAUGCGAACGAGUUGACAACAGGACCGGUCACGGGCGCUUUUAGAUGGAUGCAGGUGACUCGAUUGAUUUUUUCCCUUUUUUACUAGUUCCUUUUUUUCUUGGUCCCACACAUAAACAAGGACAACAGGACGAGUCACAACGCUUCUAGGAGGCUUUACUAAAAAAACGUUUUUUUUUUUUCUUUUUUUUGUUCUCGUACCCACAUGAAUCGGUGAUGUGUUGUGUCCAUAGUAGCCUAGGGCCUAUAUUGACACAUAUUAUGGGAAAAAAUUUUAAUUCUAAAUGUAUUUUUAUUUGUGGGAUGGAGAGAGUACCAGAGCACAGGAACAAUCAUGAGACUUCAGGUGCUUCAGGACUUCAUGACCAGAUCCGGGGGUCAUUUGCGACGGAAGAACGGUCAUGAGACUUCAGGUGCAACAUGGUCAUGAGGCCAUGUGUGGAAGUUGUGUAUCUUGCGUCGCAACGAAUUGGAAAAUUCCUAUGACCUCAUGACCAUGUUGCACCGUGUGGUAUUAUUGUCAAAAUGUUAAUGGUAUGUGUCAUUCCGAAGAAAAGUAAAUCAUAUUAUUUUAUCUCAAUCAAUUUUUUGUCCACUUGCAAUGCACAGGUAUUUUUGCUAGUUGGAACAAAAAGUACCGAACCUUGUCCAUGAAGAUAUGUUUCACAUCACAUACCAUCAGUUUUGUUUAUAUCACUUAAUUACUUUCAUGCGAUAGAUUGAUUUAAAAUACGCUGUGUACAUAUAUAUGUUUUGCUUUUAUUCCAUCGAUAAAUUGCAUAAGCACUCAGACAUAUACUUCCAAUUUAGACUUGAAAGGGUGCCUCAUCCCAAAAUGACUACUGGUGCUCGUCGGAAUGCGGCUUGACCCUUGGCGGAUUUCGUCUCCCCCUUCCCCCUCUUGGCGGAUUUCCUCCUCCCCCUUCGUCUCCCCCUCCCUCCUCUGGUGGAUUUUCUCCUCCCCCUCCCCCUCCCCCUCCACCUCCCCCAGGGCAUUCAAAGGUACAAAAGCAUUUUUUGAAAAUACGGACAUUGCCCUUGCAGUAUCCGCUAGUGCCAAGCCCAUGUUGAGUACACGAGUUCGCACAGUUCUUAUUGCUCCGGCAUAAGCCUUGGUAAGAAGUAUUAUGCCUUGAGCAGAUUGUUGCCUCCGCACCUGCGUACAAUCAUAAAUCACCAAGUAGUUCGAAGCAUAAUAACAACAUGUACUCUUGAAUGUAGCUUCAAAGUAAUCGCUCCAUGAUAUAUUGUAGAGGUAUAUGUGUAAUUAAAUGUCGAAUUAGAAGUAGAUCUACUUUGAACCAUGGCAAGGUUGAUUUAGUUACUUACAAUAGGCAACAAGGAGCAAGGCGAGGAUGAAGACACCAGGCACUGCUACAAUCUUGUUGGAUGCCAUGGUUACUUGGUGUGAUGAAAAGAGCAUAUACAUGUUCAAUAUUUAUAGUGAUUGCUUGAUCUGGCCUGUGUAGGUGGCUAUUCAAACUCAAUUCACAAUUUAAGCAUUUCUAGCAGCAUUCGAAAUUUUCCUACAAAUGUAAUCAUUUCUAUCAUGAUCUACCCCCUAUAUCCCUCAUUAAUAAUAAUUAGUUUCCUUAUAUGUGUCAACAUAAUUUGGUAUUUAGAAAACGAUUAGUGUAUUCCAUUUAUAUGAUCUCUGUAAGGGUAGGUAUUAAUUGAAUCUAUGUGCGCUACAAUCAUUUUCAUUUUCUUAAUCUAUUCUAAAAUCAGAGAAAUGUUUGCAUUUCUAGAUGGAGUAGUUUUUUUCAGUGGCUGCUGGUGUAGUUACAUUCAGGCGUAUAUAUCUAUUUGUGUAUCCAAUCCAUCUACACCCCUAGCAGCAUUGCUUUGGGUUCAAGAAAUAGUGAUGUUACUCAUUAGUUUUCACUUCACUUUCAUGGGGACUGUGAGGCGCACAACCAUCGGUAUCAGUAUUAACUAACCAUUAUUUGGAAUCCUUCAGGCAACACCAAACUAGAGGUGUGCCCUAGUAAUGCUGUACUUACACCCUCUCAAGUUGGGUGAACUCUGAUUUUCUAACACUAGAGCAGACGCUAAAUGCAUAUAUAGAGGCCUGUCGCAGCUCUUAUCUGCUAAGAGUAUCUCUCUUUCAUCCUUUGCUUGGUUUCAGUCUCUAGCCCCCACAGAUAAGGCUCGGGAACUUAGUUUUUUCUAGUUGGCUUCUCCUUAGUCCACCUCUGAGGUACUUUUAGUAUUCUGGAUGGCUAUCUCUAUAUAUCUAUAUCGAUAACUAUGUCUUUCUAAAUCUCUCUAUCUAUAUCUAAUCUAUUCGCCCCUCCUUCUUAGAAUAUAUAGUUAUGUUAGUUGUUUAAAAUUUUGUCAAAUGCAACUAUUUUUGAGUAUCUAAAGAAUUGAAAUUACGAACAGGCUAAAUUCAUGCACUUUAUUUGUGUGCACAAUUAGUGGAAAUAGAUGCUAGUAUCCACAUAAUAAAGUAUCAUUUUCACUAUCUCUUUAUCUAUCUGUCUAUUUGUCUGUCUAUGUAUCUAUGUAUCUUUGUAUCUAUAUGUCUGUCUAUAUAUCUAUGUAUCUAUCUACCUAUCUAUCUGUCUGUCUAUCUAUCAAUCUAUCUAUAUCUCACUUUUAAACAGGCCUAACCUUUCUUUAGAGAAAUAACUAAUAUCUAGAAAUUAAAGUGGCCAAAAGACAUUCACUGCAUGUACAUUUUACUUACUUAGGAAAUGGUGAUCUUGUUGCACUCAUCAGUUUAAGGUUUAGGGCCUGUUUGGAUAGCUCCCUCGGUUUACCACACAGUAGCUAUGGUGAGCUAAAAGCACGGCGAGCAUUUUGCUCGCCAUAGAUUACUGAAAGCUGAAGCAAAACUUGUAGCAUGCAAGACUUACGACGUGAUUAGGAAGCCAUCCAGACAGAGAGCUAAGUUUAAUUUUUGCGGUCAGUCGUGAAAGCAAUCCAAACAGAACCUUAGGCUUUCUAGGCUAGGUCUGUCAUGAGAAACACACAGGCCAUAUUAGAACAAAAAGUACUGGGGUCUUGUCUUGUCCAUGAAGAAGUUCGUGGAUCAUGCAAAUACUAUUAGUUUUGUUCAUAAUAUAUACUUAAUUACUUUCACACGAUUGCUUAAAACAUGCAUGUGUACAUAUAAAUGCGUUUCUCUUAUUUCAUCAAUCAACAUUUUUUAGAUAAUGGAAACAAAAGGUUCCAGUUUCAUUGAUGAAACAAAAGGUUCCAGUUCCAAUUCGGGCAUAACAUUCAAUUGGACAGUUCCAAUUCGGGCAUGCUAGAUGGCGGCUCAUCUCCAGAUGACAACAACUUCUGCCCGCUGGAUAGCGGCUUGACUCCUGGCAGAUUGCUUCGUCCUUGCCUUGGACAUUCAAAGUUACAUGUGCAUACUCUGGUAGGUGGUCUUCUGCCCUUGCAGAACCCGCUGGUGCCGAUGCCAAAAUGAAUGCACGAGUCUCCACAGUCCUUAUCACUUUGGCAUAAGCUAAGGUAAAAUGGAUUAGGCCUGGUGCAUAUCUUUGCCUCCGCACCUACGUACAAUCAUAAAUCGAUGGAUAGUUAGAACCAUAUACACCACAUAUUUUCCUUCAUGGAGCUCGAACUUGAUAAGUGAGAGAAGGUUUGUUUUAGUUACUUACAAUAGACCACGAGGAGCAAGGCCUGGAUGAAGAUAGUAGGAACCACUACGUCCUUACUGAAUGCCAUAUGGUUAUUUGGUGUGAGAAAAAUAUCAUAGACAUUUUCAAUAUUUAUAAUGGUUUCUUGGACCUCUGGGGUACAUUCAGUGUUCUAGAUAGCUAUCUCAACCUCUAUCUCUAUCUAGAUCUAGAUCUAUCUAUCUAUAGGUAAUCUACUCUCUCCGUCUCAAUUAAAAUAUAAACUAGAUAGAGUGACAUCUAGACUGUCCAGACUAGGACAACAAUUUUCAUGUCAGCCUUGCUUUCGGUUAAAAAGGCAGUGGUGUUAAUGUUGCCCAUUUGGCAUUUGCUCACUUCACUUUCAUGGGGAUUGUGAAGUGCGCACAACCAUCGGUAUGAGUUAACUGACCGCAAUUUGGAAUCCAUAAAUGGUUUCGGGUUGUUCGUCAAGGGAAGCCGUGUCAAUCCCAAAUGCCUCAGUUUUGCACCAUAGUAUGUUGUCGAGAACAUUCAGAGAUCAACCGGGUCCCAAUUUUAUCCUGUACUUCCAACCUCUCAAGUUGGGUGUGAAUUUAGACUUUGGAGUCCUGACGUAUAAUUGCAUAUAGUGCCCUGUCGCAUUUUCCAUUAGCUGCUAGCCAUUUCGUCAUUCACUUAAUUUGGUUUCAGUCUAGACCCAUAGAUAAGGCUCAUGAACCUACUUUUACCUGCAAUUGUUUCAGCCGCCAACUUCCACAGCAGCUGCAUCAUGAUUCAUGUAUGUGCAUUCUUCGUUGUACUUAGCUUGGAGCAAGCUUAUCUGUCGCUCUUGCCUUCAGUUCUUGAUGCAGUCGCUCUUCAGGUCUAAAGAGAGUCUAUGCAUCGUCAGUACUUCGUCUUUACCAUGUCAGUCUACAAACGCUAGUUCCUCUUGCUCUCUCUAACAUUACUCGAUGAAGCAAAUAGUAGGAGCAGUAGCAAGUCUCAAAUGAAAGGCCAAGGAACAGUGAAAAAAGUUACUAGCUCUGUCCCUUCGGUUCUUUUGAGCACGUCCCUUAGAAACUUUACGUUCGAGUUAACGAGUUAUUUUUCUAUUCACAUCACUUAAUUACUAAUAAUAUUUUUUUGGGUUGCAAAUAAUUUUAUUGCGACAUGUCAGCAGUAAAAUUGAUCGGUCUCUUUUAUUCCAUCGUGACUAGAGUAGUAAAACUUAGGUGUAUAAAUAAUUACAUCCAGACCAGACCCCGAGUAGUAAAAUUUACCGCUAGAAGUCUAUAAUGGAAUUAUUUACAUAGCAAAAUGAUACUAUUAGUAAUAAAAAUAGUCUGGCCACAUACCAGAUAUGUCGGUGACUGUCACAUCUCAUUUUUCUAUGCACCUGUCUGGAUGAAACUAUUUAUAUGGCCAAAUGUUACUAUUUAUAAUAAAAAUUCCCUUGUCAAAAUACUGGAUACCUCGUUAAUAAAAAUGAUUCUAUCUAGAUAUGUGAGCAAUAAGUUUUUAUGUGAUAAUCAAUGUGGCGUCCCGUGCCCAAAUGAGGUAAAUUUUAUUACUAAUAGUAUUUAUUUGGUCUGUAAAUAAUUUUAUUGUGCCAUGGUGAUUAUGAUAGGAAAAUUUACCUCUAACAAUCCAAAAAUGAAUUGUUUACAUAGUAAAAUGAUACUAUUAGUAAUAAAAUAGUCUCGAUGUAGAUCGGAUGUCGUGUUGUUUAUCAUAGGCAAAUUUGUUGAACACUGGUGUGCACAGAAUUAUUAGCAAUAAAAAUUAUACUAUCAGUAAUGAAAAAUAACCUCAUCCGAUCAUAGGAUGCCCGUAGCUUGUCACAUACAAAUUUGUUGCACACCGAUCCAGAUAGAAUUAUUUAUAGGAAUAGAUAAUAUUAUUAAUAAUAAAAAAUAAUCUCCUCUAGAUACCAGAUGCCCGUAUAUUAUCAUUAGCAAAUUUACUACACUUCAAUUUAGACAGAAUUAUUUUUAGACACAAAUGAUACUAUGAGUAAUAAAAAUUACCUCGACCGAAAACUGGACACCCCAGUGAUUAAUACAAGCAAAUUUACCGUACAAAGGUUAGGAUGGAAUUGUUUAUAUAACAAACUGAAACUACUACUAAUAAAAAAUAACCUUAUCCGGAUACCAGAUGCCAAAGUGAUAAUCAACCCAAAUUUACUGUACAAAGAUGUCGACAAAAUUAUUUAUAGACUAAAAUAAUAUUAUUAGUAAUAAAAUUUAUCUCAUCUGGAUACCGAAUAGUAUGGUGAUUAUGAUAGGUAAAUUUACCGUUACUAGUCUAGAAUAGAAUUAUUUACAUAGCAAAAUGAUACUAUUAGUAAUAAAAUAGUUUGGACAGAGACCAAACAUGCCGGCGACAAUCACAUCCCAUUUUUCUUAUAUGUUAUGUUUCAGCAAUCAUGAAAAAUAUUUUAUUAACUCAUGUAUUGAUAUUGAUUCUAUAAUCAUAAGAAGUCUAUUUUCAUAAUAAAGAAAUAUUGUUAGUUUAUUGCAUAUACACAAUUCCUUGAUAAAUAAUUUCAAACUUCUUGAUUAUUGGGAGGUUAGUGUAGACCAAAAAUAACUAUACCUAUAUGGUCUUUAAUAUUCCUAUUAAGGUUAGCACUGCUACCUAUCUUAGAUUUCACAUCAAGCUCUUCCGCUUAUGUUAAGUGAGAUGGUAAAAGUUUUCAAUAUUAAUUAUAUGCCAUUGUAGUACUUAAGAGUACGGUCGAUGGCCUAAAUUCUUACUUUCAAUAUUUUUUCAACAAAAAGAAAGUUAAUAAAAGAUACAUUAAGCACCAAAAUUUAAGUUUAAACUUGAAGAUAAAAAACAUAUAGCAACUAAUAAGGUGAAAAUUUGAAAAAAAAAAUCGAGGUUCACAUAGUCACAAGAUAUUGGUCGGAACAAGGCCCACCAAAACCUAUUCGUUGGUCUGAAAAGCCAUGACUGAAAAUAUUGUUCGCUGAUUUAUCGUGAGAGAAAAACACUGUUGGCUGGCAGAAAAAGUACGGCUUAUAAGACAAGCGAACGGUGGGCCAUGGCGGUGCUCCGCAAAGGGAAAAAAUUAGAUCUAGUUGAAAAAAAAACAUAUAGAUAAAUUUAUCAUAUGUACUCCCUCUGUUCCAUUAAAAGUGAUGUUUUGGACUCUAUGUCAUCUUGUUUGACCGCUCGUCUUAUUCAAAAUUUUUAUAUAAAUAUUAUCUAUUUUAUUAUGACUUAUUUUAUCAUAGAUACUUUAACAAUGGUUUAUUUAUUUUAUAAUUUGCAAAAACAAUUGAAUAAAAUGAGUGGUCGUACCUAAAAGUUAAAAACGUUACUUUUGACGUCCGAGUAACUAUAAAACAUUUAUUAUGCCAAAUAAAGAUAAAACAUUAAAAUUAAUAUAAGAAAUUUUUAUAUUAAUUUUAUUGGACAGCAUGUUUACAUGUUUACAACCUGGUCCCUCUAGAUGAUGACACCCAGGCCUUGGACAACAUGUUUAUGUCUUACAAAGCUUAAAAAUAGCAGUCCCUGCUGCCUAAAUGGCCGACUAGGACAGCAAUUUUCAUGGCAGUGGCAGCCUUGCUUUGGGUUAAAGAAACAGUGAUGCCGACGUAGCCUGUUUUCUUUCACCUCACUUUCAUGGGGAUUGUGAAGCGCACAACCAUCGAUUUCAGUUAACUAACCGCAGUUUGGAAUCCAUAAUUGGUGUCCGUGGGGCAAAUCCAAAGCAGAGGCGUGUCAAUCCCAAACGCCUGCCUCUACUGUUCUCUGGGCCCUGAAUUUCUGACUCUGCAUUUGUUGUAUAAGCUUCAGAAGCUGCUGCAUCAUGAUUCAUGCAUGUGCAUUCUUGUUGUACGAGCAAGUAUUAUAAUACAGCCAGCUGCUGGCUGUAAGACUUUUUUACAGCCUUCUUGCAGCCCACUCGUAUAAUAGUUAGUUCAUCAGUAUUAAUACAUAGCCUACUUGUCUGUCUCACAGACUUUUUUGGUUUUUGUGUCUGAGCCGGCUGUAAGCUUACAGCCCGCUUUUACUCUCUCUCCUCCACCUCAGCAUUUAGCUGGCUUACAGCCUACUAUAAUACUUGCUCUACUUGGAGCAAGCUUAUCUCCUGCUCUUCAGUUCUUGAUGCAGCCGCUCUUCAGGACAUCAGGUGUGGUCAGAACUAGUCCAUGCAUCUUCAGUGCUUCGUCUUUAUCGUGUGGAACAAAUAGGAGGAGCAGUAGCAGGUUUCAAAAAAAAAAGGGGGAGGAACAAUGAAAAAAUAAGUUAAUAGCUCUGUUCAUCGGCUCUUUUGAGAACGUCCGAGCAACUUUACAUUGGAGUUAGCUGAGUUAUCCUUUCCCAAGAGCAAGUUUAGAGUCUUGGACACACCCAUGCUACUCCUGAAAUAUUCCUACUCAGUUUAGUUAACCUCCUGAGAUCUUGAAUGAUUGAACACAGCACCGUUUCAGGUGCAAGAUUCACAAGGAAACAGAACAGCUCGUGUCUUCGCUCAUAUUCUCUGUAAGUACAUACAAAGUUCUCAGAUGAAGAAGUUGAAGAGAUUGGAAGUCUCCAGUUUAACCGUGUCAUACAUUACAAAAUUGCUCUGAUGAGCAUCACCAGAGCUGUUCCCUCAGAUCCUCACAUUCUCCUCUAUCAUAUGCAUCAAAGCAUUCAAGCUCAGCUCAGCUCAGCUCUCCAAUUAUUCAGCGCCAUCAAGCCUGAGCAGUGCUUUCAAUACAUCUCCUUACUCAUACGGAUUCUAAUAUCUACUAACAUAUAUAUAUAGACUCGCUUGAUUAAUAAGGAACUGUAAGUAAACUAGCUACUAACGAUUAACCCAUUUUCAUGUUGCAACUCCUCGGAUCCCUUCACAUGACGGUGCAAGAAUUGGCGUUCUCGUCGUUGAACAUCUCGCCGUAGGCGUCCCGCGGCGGCGAGAAGGCGCUCCUCUGCGGCGGCGCGCUGUAGUAGUAAUCCUCCGACGAAGAAGACGGCUGGUACUGGUACUGGUAGCUGUACGGCGCCGGCUGCGGACGGCUGUAGUAGUACGGCUCGGGCUCGUACGCCGGCGACCGGUUGUAGUUGCUGUUGUAGUAGGACGGCGUGUAGUGCUCGUCGAUGUAACCCUGCGACGGCCCCGGCCUCGCCAUCGGCAUCGGCAUCGGCAUCGGCGCCGGCGCCGGCGCUGGUGACGGGGCGGGAGCGUAGUAGGACGCGCUCACGCUCGGCCGCACCUGGUUGUAGCUCAUCACUGCCGGCGGCGGCAUGCGGUGCACGUGGCCCCCGCCGACGCCUCGGUCGUACUCUAGAGUCACUCUGGCGUCCACCGGCUGCCUAUCCUGCAUCUCCGGCUGCUGCAUCGGUUUCGCUUUCCCCUUCGCCUCGCUGGGUCCCUGCUGCGCCGGCGCCGGUGCCGGUGCCGCUGCCGCCGCGGUGUCAUCGCCGGUCUCAUCGGCGCUGGCAUUUUCUUUGCUGUCCUGAGCCGGAUUCGGGGCCUCGCCGGUGCUCUGCUUGGGCUCCCGAGGGUUGCUCGGUUCUGCCGCGGCGGCCUCGGCCGUGUCGGCGCCGCCCUUCUCGGCAGGUUCGUUGGGUUUGCUCGGCUCGUCAGGCUGGUUGUUCUUGGGCUCCUGCGUUUGGCUCUCAGCUGCUGGUGGUGGUGGUGGUGGCGGCGGCUGCUCCGGCAACAGCUCCGCCUGCUUGCCGGACUUGCGCAGCUUGGAGACCAGCAUGUAGGGGUCGAGCUUCGUCGAGAUCGUCGCCACGACCUUGUUGCUCCGGGCAUCGAUUUCGCAUCGGUACACGCCUUCAACAAGAUCAAAAGAACACAAAUUCAGUACGGUCAGCAUGGGCACAUAAGGUCCAUCUUCACCGAUCAAAAUAAAAUUGUGCUAGACUUUCAUUGAUUGUUUUUUAGUUUGGUAUAUAGUACAAAGAAAAAGAGGCAAUUGCUUGCAAACAAAGGCACCUAACAUGCAUGUACUAGACUACCUACUAAUGCUCAGUGUUCAGUGUUGCAAUCGAAGACGCAAAAUUUUGCAGCAUCAGGACUUUGUGUAAGCAAGGCCUUUGACAAUGCGAAGCUACGUGCUGGUAAAUUGAAAGACCUGUUCGAUACCGUUAUGCAAUUCGAGGGGCGAAAUUAAACAAGAGCCUACCAUUGAUGUUCUGGAGCACUUUCUUCACCUUCUUCUUGCAUCCUUGGCAGUGAAUGGACACCCUCAGCACCACAACCUGAAACAGGACACACAGUCACAAACGGAUUCAGAACAAGAAUCGAAAUCAGUGACUGAAACAGGAACAGGAAUCAGACUGAAGAACAGAAAUUGCUCUGGAAACAUCUACUGGAACUGGAAUCCGAUCAGGCUCAGGGAGACAGAUUAAAGAGAGAAGGGAGAGAAUAUUGGUACCUGGCACUCUAUAGGCUCUGAGGCCAUGAGAGCGAGGUGAGGAAGGUGCUUUGCAGGAGGCAGGAGAGGAGGGGAAAGUGUGCCCGUUGAGUCGUGAACUGUGGGGGAAGUGCGGAGGGCGAUCUUUAUACCCCGCCGCACUAGUUUAGUUAGCAACAAGUGAAAGGAAUCGAAGCAACCGCCAUACAGACAAGGAAUAGUACGUGCUGAAUUGAAUAUCUUUGGAGAGCUGAUCAUCAGCUAGGCUUUACAUAUGGGCGCAGCGCAGAGCGCACCACGCCCUUGGAGGGAGGCUUUGGAAGGAGGUAAAGAUGGAUGUGAGGGAGGCUGUGACAGUGAAAGCAAGCGUAUGGAGGUGGCGAUCCAUGGAUGGUUCAGUGCUAGUCCUAGUCGUCGUCUUCCUUCCUUCUUUUCAGAGCUCAUCAUGAGCUGUACUACAAUAAUACUGUGCAUGCAGCAGCUGAGAUUUUCAUUUUAGGUGAUGAUGGCAACUAAAGCGGCUUUUUGCAGGGAGAGACUGAGGGAGGGAGGGAGAAUUACACUUGAACAUCGAUCCCUUUUGCUAAUUGUUGCUGUCUUGCUGAGCUGAGCUACCUUUAGUACUAGUAGAGAGAUUUUCCUGCUGUGCUGUUCUUCCUUCUCUUUUGUUUUUCAUAAGACUAAGCAGAGGAGGUCAUUGGGUAACAUUUUAGAUAUGUGCAGCCUGUGGAGUUGUGGACAGACCAACAGUCAGAUUCAUCUGAUUCUCGUGUGAUUUGGAUGCUUAUGUGUAGAACAAGAUUAGUAGAUAUGUGUGCCCAUUUAGAUAUAUAUACUCACAAAGAUUUCCCCGGAGGAACAAAUGAAAAGGGUAAUGUUCAGAGUUUCAGACAAAGACAAGUUCACAUGCAAUAUUUUCGUGGUAUGCAGCGGUCUAAUUAGUUUGCCAUCAUAUAAACCGCUAACCAUAUUCUAUGUUAUCCCUCAGCCUGUUGACGCAUGCUAUUGCCUUCAAAGAUUACAAUCAAAAAAGAAAGUAAAAAUGUUCAAAACAAAAGAGAAAGUAAAACAAAAAUAUGCGUCCCUGUCCCUUAUACGCUUUUAACACCUUUUUCUCAUAUUGCUGUUCGUAGUCAAAGUUUCAAUUGUGAAUGAAACAAGGAAAAGCGAAGUCAACAACAACUCACUGAAGGAGACGGCACUACAUUACAACAAUGACGACGUCAAAAUUUGGUUUAUGCUGAUGUUGAAAAGCAUUGUUCGCUGUUUUUUUCGUGAGAACCGAAACGAAAAUGUUUCAGAAAACAGUCGAUAGCCUAGCCCCUGCCAUGGCUAGCUGCUUGUUGGUGUCUUGGGUGAGUGAGAUUCCUUGCCCUCCCAUGGAGUGUUACGGCGUCGCAGGCAACCGGCCAAUGCAUGCAUGCAACCGCGGGUUAGUGGUGGCCAGCCGCCAACAACUCCAUCGUCACGCCAGUCGCCGCCGCCGCCGCCGCCGCCGCCAAACACGAGAAGAAAGAUUGGCGGAUGCAAAUGCAAUAUUUGUUAUUGGUUCGUUGAGUUUAUUUGCACGGCCGGGCGUGCAGAGGAAGAGUUUGUGUUGCCUCGUCACAAAGCGCUCGUGUUGUGUUGUGUCACGCUAGCUUUUUUUCAGUUUUGCAUGGUCGGAGAAGAAAGCAUCGAUUCCACGUUCCAGGAGAAGAAGCCUUUUUUGACAACGCCUGUUAGUUGUCCAUGGCUAGCUCCAAGGCUGGGGCUGUGGCUCUUAGUUAUAUUUUAUAUGUAGAUACGUCUAGCUUUGUUUGAGCCAUGAGCCAUCAUUAAGCGCAAAUUGCAGGUGGUUUGGCCGGCCACAUUAUAUUUGCAAAAGCUGAAUUCUGGAGUGAUCUGGAAUUGGUAUUCCAGUGUUUUUUGCAGGAACGUGGAAGGAGACCUAGAAUACGUACGGCUGUCCGUGAGUGGUUAUGGUCUUAUGGAUGCUUAUUAUAUAUUUGGUCGAGGGGGAAAAAAACUGUUAGGCGAUCACGCACUAGUUAGUUCUGGGUUAUAUUCUGUAUAUGUAUAUGUGGCUAGUGUUGUGGUCUUUUGGAGAUGAAAUCAGUACGUAAUAACGAUUUUUGUACUGAGUGAGGCAGUAGACUUUUGUCUUCCGGCGGCAUGAUAUCAUCGUCACGCUCCGACCGGGCAGAACAAGACGAUAUAUGUCAACGAGAGACGAGAUAAGUAUAUCUAGUUAAAACACGCCGCAUUAUUGCAACGUCAGGAGAUGGUGAUUGGUGAUGCCCAGACCCGUGCAACGAACGAUCCUUUCCUGUUCAUGAAAAGCAUAUAGCUAGACUAGAGGCUCUCUAUCUGAGAUGGAAAGGAAAAGGAGGCUGUCUUGACCCUCACUCACACUGUCCAACGCCGUCGAAAGGCUCUCUCUCUCUCUCUAUCUGAGAUGGAAAGGAAAAGGAGGUUCUUGACCCUCACUCACACUGUCCAACGCCGUCGAAAUUGUAGAAGCAGUUGCCAGUUGGCUAGUUGGAUCAGUCACUUUAACUAUUUCUGCUGCUCCAUGGAAGAAACACGCUCAAACAGCAAAGUGCGUGCCAUGCCAUGUGAGGGCAAAGCAGUUUCCCCAAACAAAAUCAGCGAUCCUCCACCCAGCAGCAUGAACAUGAACAUGCAUGCAUGCUGAUACAAGCAUAUCUCUUCUCUCUGCUGAAUGGUACACGGUCCCUGUUACUGUCACGACUCACGAACAGGGUGACGAUACUUCCAAGAAAGACGCCGGCCGGAUGCCCAGAUCGAUCAAUCAUCCCGCCAUUCCGUGACCGUCGCUGUCGCCGUCGCCGAGUCGAUCUCUCUUCGCUCUCGCGGUGUCGCCUUCCUCCAUCACCAGCACGAGAGCAAAAGCUCCCGAGCAUUAGCUGUUAAAGACGGACGGACGGAGACUGGGAGAGGUACAGUACAGCGACGGCUGCACGCGGCUGCGAAAGCCAAACCAAAGGCCCCCUGAUGGAGCAGUGUGUGUGGGGACGCGCGAUGGUGGAAUGCAAAAGCGACCGUGCCGGGGGCGGGGAGUCGAUCGAGCAAGAGCAAGUCAGCAAGAUCGAUCGAUGGAGCGAAGCCGGCGGGGACGAGUCGACGGAUGGGAAUGGGACGGCCGGCCCUGGCGCCCUCAGUCGGUUCGUCGUCAGCGACGGAUCGGACAGCCGCGCGUUGGCCUUUCUUGCUGGUUACCGCGGUUCUGCGUCGUCGUCGUCGUCUUUAGCUUUUGUCUCCAUCGGACGGCGGUGGAGGAUCGGAAUCGGAAUCGGAGGUAGCUAGUGAGGAAUAUGCAUGCGGCGGCCGUUUGGAUCGCCAUGACGUGGUGCCGCCGCGCCACGCGUUGUGCCGGAACGAACACGGACGGAUCGAAAGGCGGGUGGGCGGGCAACGGCUGGAGAUGGAUCGAAAGGCGGCAGCUAGCGAGCAGUGGAGCCUGCUGCGAGGUGUGAUAAGGACAGACGACCGACAGGGAUGGAUGGAAAGGAGGAAGCCGGCCGGCAGCGGGCAGUGGGGAUCUCGGUCAUCGGAGCACAAUGCAAAAAGAUUCAGACGCACGCACACGUAGCAACAACCACGACAUGCAGAUCGACGAGAAGCGCCCGCAGCGAGCGCCGGUUUUGGCAGCAGCAGCAGCAAAGAAGAAGAAGAAGAAGACACGGACGUUACGCUAGCUGCCGGCUGCCGCUCUCAAGAAAAUAAAAGGCAGGACUGGUUACCCCAAAACCGCGUUCCUUUCUUCUUCCACUAUACUUGUUUAGUUCUUAAAAAAAUUUAUAAAAUUUUUCAGAUUUCCCGUCACAUCGGAUCUUUAGAUGCAUGUAUGGAGUAUUAAAUAUAGAUAAAAAUAAAAACUAAUUGCACAGUUUGAUCGGAAUUGAUGAGACGAUUCUUUUGAGCCUAGUUAGUCCAUAAUUAGAUAAUAUUUAUCAAAUAUAAACGAAACUGUUGCAGUGUCGAUUUUCUAAAAUUUUUUUUUAGAACUAAACAAGAUUCAGAAUCAGAAAGCGCGAAAAAUAAAGGGGAACGCCGAGCUGAUAGCCCUUCGGCGCGAGUUGUUCGGCCCAUGCACAGACCAGUCCGGUCCGUUGAUUGGCCCAGCAGGCCUACAAUCGUUUAGGCCCAAGUGUAUCUGACGGAGCGUGGGGGCGCCAGGUAAACUAUGUUGUACAGUUUCUCUCAAAAAAAAGAAAAAAGAAAGAUAAGUCACUUAAUUUGUUAUUAGUGCCACAUUGUCUGCAAAAUCGUGUGCGCCGUAGCUAAUAAACAAAGAUAGUGAUGAUACGAUCACCGCGUGGCAUGCGCGGAGAGCACGAACAAAAUUCAGACAAGGAAAAACAAAAUACCGCCUAAAAUAGGCUGGUGUACGAUAUUGCAUAAUUGCGAUUCAGCCCAGAAUCCAUAUGAAAUACAGCCUAUAUUAGGCCGGCGUACGAUAUGUGCGCCCAGCUUUUUUGUUUCUCUUUUACCGGGAUUUCAAACCAUAGUAGUCUUUUCGUUUUACUAGGAUUUUUCAAGCAAAAUGAUUUUUCAUUUAACUAUAUACAUUAUUAUAAAAAUGCUAAUAUAUGCUCCGAAGAUUGGAGGGACACAGCAUAGUGAUUUUCUAUUUAAUAACUCGUAUAUACACUAGAAUAGGCUCAAACAUGUAUCUGCUCAUAGUGAUUUUUCAAUUAACUCAUAUACUAAAAUAGGCUAGUCUAUAUACUUCCUCUGUCUCUAUUUAAUUAUCGUCGUCGAUGUGCGUACCAGGACUCGAUUUGUAAAAAAUAUGUGCAAUAUUUAUAUCUUUAAAUAAAUUUAUUAAAAACUAAAUUUAAAUAUCUUUCUAAUGAUAUUAAUUAUGUACCGUAAAUAUUAAUAUUUUUAAUAUAUAUUUAAUUAAAGUUGUUUAUCGAGAAGUGUAAAUGACAGAUAUUUAUCUGGGGCGGAGGGAAAACUCUAAGAGUGGAGAGAUACAAGAGCAAAGAAAGACUAAUUGACCAAAUUUUGGGAAGAAAAUUUGACUCUUCAAUAUUAGAGCAACUUCAAGAUAUUAGCCAAAAAUAGACUUCAUUAUCCAUGAUUUAGCCAUCUUCUAAAAUAAAAUCUCUUAAAAGAAACAUGGAUUCUCCAAUAGCCUUAGUAAAAUUCCUAUUUUCAUACUUAAAACUUGCAAUGUCAUCUACUAUUCAUUUUGGUUCCACCAAUCAAAUCAAACUAGAUGUUCACUAGAGCCUUAUGUAAUCAGGCGAGAGAGCUGAUAGCGAGCGCCCCUGGCUUGCUUUUUCUGCUAGCAGAAAAGUUAGGAUAGUCUAUUUGGUAUUUUGAACACUCAGAUAACAUAUCUGUUGGAGACUAUUUGGUAUUUUGGAAACCCAGAUAGCAUAUCUUGCUUUAUAUCAUAGAUUGUCUAAAAUGGGCUCGAAAUCAAAAAAUAGUAUCUCUCUUGGAGUUGCUCUUGGAAAUAGAUAUAUAUAGUCGGCUCUUAGAAAUAGAUAUAUAUAGUCUAUAUCGAUGGGCCAAACUAUGAUAAAGUUCAUAUCAUUUUGAUGACAAAAGUAAUGAUGUAACCGUAUCAUACUUGAUUUUAUUUUAGAUCCUAUUUGAUACAACUGUGGGGAGAAGCUGAGUAAGUGGAGGAAAAACAUAGCUCAAGUAAGCGUGUCUAACCCAAUUGGUAUGUUUUUAGUAUAAACGGGAGCUAUGAAGAGAAGUGUGGACAGAAAACGAUGCAAAAUUUGACUUCUAGUUCAGCUUAUCAUAUUAUUAUGGACACAAACUGCUUAAAGGAUGUACAAAAUAGGCACUAGUGUUACUUGAUUCUAUCUAUAACCAUGCUAGGAUACAAAGUAUUGAUGUUAAAGUGUGGAUGGCAUGGCUCGCAUGUGUAUCACUCCACAAACACUAGCAUUACAAAAACAACUUUUUAAACAAACAAAUAGAUAAUACAUAACGAGAGUGUCUACUAGCGAGAGUAGUUGUCAUCUCUUGUGACCAACUUCUCACGAAUUCAAGAAAAAGUCAACCAUGUAUGUUGGCAAGUUUCUCACACAUGUGCGCCAAGAAAUCGAUGGACGAAUUAUAUGUAAGCUGUAAAAGGUUGAUAUAAGACAUCAGAUUUGAGUCAAAAUCAUCGGAAUCAACACAUUCUUUUUUUUCACGGAUACACAAAAAAAAAUUGCAUAUCAUUGUAUUAAGGAGAAUCAAUACGCUUCUAAUUAACGAGCGUUGAAAGAGGUCAACCUAACAUAGCCAAAGCUAAACCCUUCUAGCAAAGCCCUUCAUCAACAUCAAUAAUGAUGCAGAACUUUCCAUGUGGAAAAGACCAACUUGGCAAGUUUAGGGUACGGUGAGAGGAUGUGCUGAGAUGAGAAGGCGAGGAAGAAGUGGCAUGAUAUCCGACUUGCUUUGAUGAUUUUUUAUGGGCGCGCAAAGCCUGCUACUUCCAACGAUUGGACUUCGGCGCGCAUUAUUAGUUGUUUAGCCCAUGCAUGAAUCUGAAUCCAGACCAGUUCGGUCCGUUGAUUGGCCCAGAAGGCCUAUAAUUGGUUUGGCCCAAGUACGAAAACUGUACGCUCUGCAGCUAAUAAACAAUGACCAUGAUAAUAAGAUCGCCGCGUGGGAAGUUUGACGUAAGACGACUCUAGAAAUUGAUUUUUCUGUGGACGGAGUAUGCAAAAUCUUACCUCUAUAAGCAUUUUUGAAGCUAGACCAGCAAAUCCUCGAGAUUAAUAAAGUCAGCGCAAACGUCUCGCUGAUAUCGUGCCAUAUAUUAGAGUUAUUGUUGUUGGUACUGUCUUCUGUAAAUUUGAUUCACCUUAAAGUAGUUUGAUUAAGGACAACUUAAAGCAGAGUUUUCUGUGCUUAUAUAAUGGUUUUCUCUCAGGCUCUGACUACUGCUGCUGUAUGUAGUACAGCUACACCAUACCUAAGUUUGGUAAAAAGCCCUCUUUCUAAUAAAAUCGAUCUCUAAACUACCGGACGGUCGAGUAGAUCGAGGUAGCAGCCGGGGGUAGGAGUAGGACGCGCAGAAAUUAUUGUGUGCAAGAACGAUGCCAGCUAGAGCGGUUGUGUUGUGGGCGGGCCAUGAGCGAGCGAGUGCAACCAGAGGUGGGAGACGUACGAUCGAACGUACCCAGCGACAGCAAGCAGUCAGCAACAUAUAUUCUCUCUCUCGAUCACGUCCCCACGGGCACGGGCCUAUAGCUGUAUCCUGUCCCUGGCUCCGUCCCUGAUCUCCCCCUGUGCACAUCCAUCAUCACUGAGUGAGUGGUCGCUAUUGAUCAGUAAACAGUACAGAGACGGAGUAUCUCAGCUACAGUGACCAGUUCGGUGGACGCCGGCCAGAGAGGCGGCUCUGCCACUGAUCGAUCGACGCCAUGGCUGGUCGCGCGCAGCCAGAAGAGGUUUGAUUGGUUGCUAGCAAGAGUACUGUACUUGCUCUGAACUUGAUUAUUUCAAGUGUUAGCUGGCUUCUAAUUAACAAUUAGUUUCGGAUCAUCUAAUUAAUUUUUAAAAUCUGUUGCAUGCUGUCAUUCCAAUCAUCGAUCCUAAAACUCCCUAAUAAAAACUAAACGAGAUGAUUAUCAUAGCUCAUGCAUGAGACUGAUGAGAAUACAAGCAGAUCAACCCGGCAACAUGUGUAAUGUAAAGAAAACAUGCAUUCUUACGGCCAACAAGCUAGCAAACUCUGGCAAGCAGAUCGAGCAAUGGCUACGAACUAACUCCCUAUGCACAGCACGCGACGCCACGUACAUUACACAAACCGAUCGAUGGGGAGGGGGAUAGAGAUGAGCAAGUAGAUAGACGCAACAAAUUAAUUAGGGUACAAACAAAGGCUAGCCAGCUAGCUAUAUAGGUAGCAGACGAUCGAGAUGAACUGCAGUGAUGCAGCAGCCAGGCAGGAAUUAACAACGAAGACGAUAGAUGGAGGAGAGGUAGGUAGCAGCAGGCAGUACGAUCGAGUAUCUAGGCGUCGAUGACGCGGAAGGCGUCGCGGUUCUUGAUGACGAUGUCGUACAUGUGGACGGAGCCGAAGUGGGCGAAGUCCUUGGGCAGCGAGAUGAGGUCCACGGAGGUGCGCUUGUGGUACUGCAGCAGGCCGCCGCCGCCGUUGUCGGCGUAGUAGCGCUCCCAGCCGAGCGCCGCCAGCUUGCGCUCCAGCGACGCGUAGGACGUGACCACCUCCCCGGAGGGCGUGUGCAGCAGCGCCUUGCGCUUGCCCGACGCCGCCGCCGCGUUCCCCGACGUCGGGUUCUCCACCAGCCUCACCACGCCGUUCCGGAACACCCACACGCCCGACAUACUUGCUGGGUGCGUGGCCUCUCCCCUCCUCUGCUUUUCCUCCCUCUUCGAUCGAUCCCUGCGGAUGAUGGAGGAGUCUUGUAUAGUAGCUAGCUAGCUAGGUUGUCCGGUGCGGAUGUGCGGGAGAGGGUGGUGGGCGAGGCGGCUAUAAAUAGGCGUCCGGCGAGCCGGCGGGCCGGGGCGCGCGCUGGCCGGCGCAGCCGUGUGUGACGACACCGGCCGACCGAUGGAAUGCGCGCGCGCGCGCGUCGGCAUCUCUCUGUUGCUGUGGACGGAGAGGGAUUAUUGCUGGGGAGGGGAGGGGACGGGCCGGGACGAGAUGUGUUGUGAUUGUGAGCGCCACCCGUACUUGCACACGCUACAUGCAGAGUCGUCGUCCAGCCGUACGUGCCGGGGCCCUGCGAACGAUCGAGAUAAUGGACGGCCUGCGAGGCUUGGGAGCUACUAGCUCUCGGUGUUGCCAUCAUCCGAAUGCAAUACGAGAGCACAGAAUAAUAAUCCAUGUCGAUCCACUACUUACAUAAAACUUUAUAGAGAUGGUUGUUUUCGAUUUUUGGAGGCGAACAUGCAAAAACGCCUCCAAUAUAAGGUCACAUUAAAUGAGGAUUAAUGGAGCCGGUUGUUUGUCCAUCUCCGUUAAUCGAUAAAAAUAAAAAUAAAAAGACCACAUGGGCCUGGAUCUGGGCCACACGGGCCUAGGGCAUCAUGCCGCAGCCGCCGAUCCAAUCGCCACGACGCCGCUACCAUCGAUUCGGGCCGUACGAGUCGCUACCAGUGGAGAGGAAGGAGACGGAGGCCGCCACACCUGGAGGAGCAGGGGGGCUCGCGCUGCCAUCGUUGAUCCGUCACUAAGGAGGUAGCCUAAUCCACCGCUGGGGUGGAGAGGGCCUGAUCCACCGCCACCGAGGAAUAGAAGGCCGGAUCCACCGCCGCCAUGGAGAAGUGGGCUAGAUCUGUCGCCACCGAGGAGAAGGCAGGAAUCCCGCCACCACUUAGGAGGAGAAGAGUGGAUCUGUCGCUGCCGUGGAUGUAGGGGUCGGAUCCAACCGCCACCUAGCAGGGGCGCCAUCGCCAUGUGAUGUCAGGGGAAGGAAGGGGAGUGCUGCUGGGGAAGGAGAGGGAAGGAGAGCGCUGCCAGGGGAGGAGAGGGAAGCACGUGGGGGAGAAGAGAGUGGAGGUGGGUUGGCGAGGGAGAGAGAUGAAGCUGGGGAGCGAGUGGGGAGAAGAGAGGGGAGCGCUGCUGGCGGGGGAGAGAGAGAGAGAGAGAGAGGAAGAAAUGAAGGCGUUGGUGGCCUUGUAAACCCUAAGUCUUGGUAUAUAUAUGACGAGCGUGAUAUCGAGCCGAGAUAUGUGGUGUCUGGGCUAGAUUUUAGGAGGUGGUCCUUAUAAAAUAACCGCAACACGGUUAAUCAUUUAUCGAAGCGGUUAUGUUAUAAUGUCCACCUCGGUUCAUAAGCAUUAACCGAAGUAGUUAUAUAACAUUUGCCGAAAUCUUGCGAGACAGUUAAAUUUAACUACCUUGGUUAAUAAAAACUAACUGCCUCGAUUAAUUUAAAACGUUAACUAAGGGGGUUUGAAUUAUGGCCUGCCUCUAAGGUCAAUUUUGAAACCCCUCGCAAAAGAUUUUUUUUUUAAGUAGUGAUAGAUGAAUGCAUACCUGCGGCUACUAUUGGCCAUGCAUGGCUAUGGAUGGGAAUAUCCCGUCCGACGCCGGCCGCCCCUACAUACUACGCACGACGAGAGUAGACAUGCAUCAUGAUGUAGCGGCCGUCCACCGACUACGUUACGUUACUGGCUCAGCUGGGGUCGUACGCUAGCUCCCUCGCGGUAGGCCGGAGAUACCAAGAUUGACGAAUGAGGUCUCUGCGGCACAAACAGCUAGCAUGGAGUCGAAGGAGGGAUGAUGGAUGCCAUAUGCACAGUGCAGAGAGCAGUGAUGUCCAUGGAAUCCAAUCCUCGAUCCACGAAUACCAUCACCCCCAUCCCCAGAACCUAGCUAGAGAAGAUAGGCUAAGCUAGCUAGCUAUAGCUGGCAGAAAAAUGCAUAUGGAAGCAUCGAUUCGCCGCCGGCCGGGGCAUUAUAUUGCUGGGUGCGUCAUGGGUGAUACCAAAUGGAUUGGCGAUGCGAGUUGUCUUGAGGAGGGAGGAGUUCGUUGUCUUGGUUCUCGUCUCGUCUCUGUCUACUACAAUUACAUGCAUGCAUAUGCAUGCAUCCAUCGUGUAUAUGCUUCUUGUUGUUACCUAGCUAGCUUUACGGUGAACGAUACAGCUGCUUGACAUACGCACUAGCUACUCCUCCUAUACACACGGACUAAUAAUCGAUAAGCUCUCUUCACCAGCCCUAAAUAAACGGGUUUGCAGUGAGAACAAAUAUCGCGGAUAUUCCCCAAACUGAAGUUGAGUAAGAAUAUGGGUGAUCCCCCCCUGCUGCUAGUAGUUGUGUGGCCUGCAUUCGUCUCCGCGCGCGUACGUGCGCUACAGAAUAUGCGGCAGGCUUUUUCCCGCCUGCCACUGGCCUCGCCUCAUCACGGGCCGCGCAGCCUGCUGCCCGCCCAGCGUUAACGCCUUUCUUCCCACUUGACCAGCUAACGAGUAGUACGAGAUCGAGAGCGUCGGCCAGCAGGGCACGCGUGCAAGCACAGUGCAAGUAUAGGCAACAAACACAGUUGUCACACAGUCCUAGGAAAAGAAAAGUUUCUAAGUAAGUUUAAAAAAUUUAUCUUGAAAAAUACAUGUAAAUUGAAUAAUUAAUUAUUUUUCUAUAUAUUUAGUGUUCCAAGCAUGUAUCUAAACAUUUGAUGAUUCAAAGGAAAAAAGUUUUUGGGUGAGAACUAAACAAGCAUCUUCUUUUUUUACGAGACACAGUUAGAGAUGCAGACGCUCACAUACACGAGCGCAUAUUCAUUCAGGAGGGCUGUUAAAUCCUAGAUUAAAUUUACAAAAAUACGAGCACCCGUAACAAGUUAGGGGUUUAAACCCAGGUGGGUAGGUUCCACCACAAAAAAUACAACCAGUUAAUCUAUGAUCGGUUCGCUAGCGUCUUUGGAAGCUUGUACCUAUGGAAGAGCAAAAAUUUUCUCUAGUGUAUAUAUCUAAUAUCCAUAACCAUAUUCUAUAUCUAAUAAUAAAAAGCAAAAAAGUUAUUUCUUUUACUCUCUCCGUCCCCCACCCGUCUAUCCUCACUCAAAUCAUUUUUGUCCCUCACUAUCCCUCACUCUAGAUUGCAUGUUUGGUACAUUCUCACCCGGCUCCUGCAGCUGUUUCUCGACGACACUAGCCAACACAGGCGAGAGAGACGGCGCCCCUCUGUGUGUGAAGGUUCGGAUUUCCCAGUACCGUUCGCUUAUCUUAUUAGUGGUAUUUUUUCUGGAAGCUAACAAUAUUUUUUUUAUAAUAAAUCAGCCAACAGUAAUUUCAGCUAUGACUUUUCAGAUCUGCAAACAUAGGGGCGCCACCGUCGAAUCGUGAUGGACCAGCAGCGGCGAUAGUUGUCAUCGAGGCCACUAGUACACGGGCGUAGGAGCCACACGGCCGCUGAGGCGGAGGAAGCUUUGGGCACAUUGGUUGUUCGGGGCAGCUCUGAUAAGCCAUGUCUAAAAGUACUAUUUAUUGAUUUAUUGUGAGAAAAAAUACUGCUGAAUAGCUGGCAAAUUCGACGAACGAACAAAUUGACGUCUCCAACAACUAGAAGUCGGUGAAAUAAUUACUAUUUAUGUUUUUUUAGUUACGUCGGCUUUUGCCUUCUAUAACUACACUACAAUAAGCCAAAUCCAGAUGAAGCACCACCUUGAGGUCCUAAGGUAUCUAGAUCACUCAACCUGACAACCUUAGCCAUACUUGACUGUGUCUUUUAAGGCCCUGUUUAGAUUGAGGAUGAAAAAUUUUUGGGUGUCUCAUCGGAUGUGUCGGAAGGAUGUCGGGAGAGGUUUUUAGAAACUAAUAAAAAAACAAAUUAUAUAACUCGUUUAGAAACUGCAAGACAAAUCUAUUAAGCAUAAUUAAUCUAUCAUUAGCACAUGUGGGGUUACUGUAGCACUUAAGGCUAAUCAUAGACUAACUAGGUUUAAAAGAUUCGUCUCGCGAUUUUCAACCAAACUGUGUAAUUAGUUUAUUUUUUUAUCUACAUUUAAUAUUUCAUGCAUGUGUCCAAAGAUUCGAUGGGAUGGAUGAAAAUUUUUUUGGUGGGGAACUAAACAGGACCUAAACUUCAUACCGCCUAAAAUGAAUCAUGCAGUUGAUAGCCAAAAUCAAUGAUAUACAUCAUGCUUGUCUUCUAAAACUACUAGAGAAAUUAAUUAAGCUAAGUUAACAACCAAAGUAACUAAUUGGUGAGGAGUAUUAAUGUCAGUCUUUUGCUAGACUUGUUAUUUGGUUCUAAAAGUCUUUCUGUACUGUCUUUUAGAACAGAAGGAUUGAACCAUGCAUAAAUAGUGUGUGCGCUAGCUGUUUCCAUAAAAGGAGGGUGGCAUUUCUCUUUCUUGACAGCAACUUGCUUGCAUGCAUGUGUGGCCCUAGCUAGGCUCCCUACCCAUGCAAAUCGCGAUCGCUCGAUCGGAUUGCGGCUGCACACCACCGCGCGCGUCGGCGACGUCAAAAUCCCCGAGAUCGAUCGGUCGAGACUCGAGAGGCCGGCCGACCGAUGGCCCCUGCGCGCACGGCCGUGGCCUCAUCAUCGACCCAUUGCAUGCACGGCGCGCGCGCGGCAAGGCAACAAGCGCAUGGCACAUGCAUGCCGCGCACCGCGCUACGCUCUACUGCCGUGGAGCGGUGGCAGUGUCAGUGUGCGCACCCGACCACCCCCAGGCAGCCCCGAUCGGCGUCAAGGGCGGAGCUAGCUGGAGUGAGUGUGUGUGUGUGUGUGUGUGUGUGUGUGUGUGUGUGUGUGUGUGUGUGUGUGUGUGUGUGUGUGUGUGUGUGUGUGUGUGUGUGUGUGUGUGUGUGUGUGUGUGUGUGUGUGUCAGCGGGCAGCCCGGUGGAUUGCGAUCGAUCGACGACGCGCAUGCAUGCAUGUGCAGAGUAUUGCAUUGAUGGCACGCUGUGUCGGAUGAUCGAUGCAUGAUACCGCUCCGGCCGGCCGGUACGUGGCGGCGGAUCGGAUGGUAUCGUAGUAUCACGAUGCAUCCCGUACGUCGUCCCCGGGCCGGGUGACCGCAUGCACCCUCGCUCGCUGACCACGUGACAGCUACCUACCCUACCCGGCUGGACUGCUGCUGUGCGCUGUGGCCGUGGACGCGGCAGCAAGCGCAAGCUGCGGCCCGCCCCUCGACCAGUCGCCGUCGCCGAAUUUAAUCGCGGCGCAGUGCCCGGACCGGCCGCCGGAUCGACGUGGUCACCACUCCUCGCCAUCUAUACUACUAUAAGUAUAUAUAUAUAUAUAUAUAGGUGGUAUAGGUAGGCCUGGCCGGACCGGAGCAGAGCGCGUACUGGUCCUCGUCCUUGCGUCUCAUGCGCGCGUCGUCUACGGCCGCGACCGGUCGUCUCACUGGCUGGACGGAGGAGGAGGACAUUCAUGAUCAUAUCUCGCUGGAACUAGAAUUAUUACCACGUCACAACUCACACGUACUGUACGUGCUCAUGCUGAGGGCCUGUUUAGAUUGGGGAUAAAAAUUUUUUGGGUGUCACAUCGGACGUGUCGGAAGGAUGUCGGGAGGGGUUUUUAGAAACUAAUAAAAAAACAAAUUACAUAGCUCGUCAGGAAACUGCAAGACAAAUUUAUUAAGCAUAAUUAAUCUGUCAUUAGCAUAUGUGGGUUACUGUAGCACUUAAGGCUAAUCAUGGAGUAACUAGGCUUAAAAGAUUCGUCUCGUGAUUUUCAACUAAACUGUGUAAUUAGUUUAUUUUUUUAUCUACAUUUAAUGUUCCAUGCAUGUGUCCAAAGAUUCGAUGGGAUGGAUGAAAAAAUUUUUUUGGUGGGGAACUAAACAGGGCCUGAGAUGAGAGGUACUGUACUUACCAACUACGACAGGACACAGCCCGAUUUGGGAGUGCUACAGUCAAACUUGUCCUUGCGUGUGUAUUUACUCUUUAGGUGCAUAUAUAUAUAUAUAUAUACAUCACUCUAAAUCUUUAAAAUAUCAUUAUAAUAUCCCGGCCCGCACUUGCUAAGAUGUUGUCUAAGUCCUCAAACUUAUCAUAUAAUUAAUAUAGCCUAAGAGUCUGCUCGAUCACCUGGCAAAAAAGUCAUUGUUGAAAGUAUUGUUCGUUGAUUUAUUAUGAGAAAAAAAACAUUAAUAAACGGUUGGUACAUUCGGCGAUAAAUUCAAACGAACAAGUUGUAACUUCAAACGAGCACCGACCGGACCACUCCAUGCCCUGAUGCCAUAUGCCUUUGUGGUUCUUGACUAGAGGGUCACACAUGAGGGCGGCACCUACAUGCGUCUAAGGGUCUAUUCGCUUGGUAAAAAAGUCACGGCUGAAAGUACUGUUUUUUGAUUUAUUGUAAGACAAAAAUGCUACUAAAUGGCUGAUAGAUUCGGCGAAGAUAACCUCAAGCGAACAGGUGUCACUCCAAACAAGCACGACCCAACCACUCCAUGCCCUGAUGCCAUAUGCCUGGCUUUUGACUAUAGGGUCAUGCAUGUUCGUCGUCGGCUCUCCAUAUCUGUGGCAACCUAGAAACUUUUCAAGAUUCUCUGUCACAUCGAAUCUUGCGCCACAUGCAUAGAAUAUUAAAUAUAGAUUAAAGAAAUGACUAAUUACAUAGUUUGUCUAUAAUUUGCGAGACAAAUAUUUUGAGUCUAGUUAGUCUAUAGUUGGACAAUAAUUACCAAAUAAAAUAAAAGUGCUAUAGUACCUAAAAACUUGUUACCUCCUCAACUAAACGGUGUCUAUGUUCUUCAUCCCCCCCUACCCCACACACACACCCCACUACUUUACAAAUGAUAUUAUAUUAAUUUUAAAGAGUUGGGGACCUUUAUAAUGAUGCCCCGACAAGUUGUAGGACAUACCGAAAUCACAAAUUCGCAAUAGUAUGCCACGCACCUAGCCAGUGAUGAUUGAUGAAAACGACAUAUGCGUGAAUAAGCUUAUAUAUUAUAUAAAUGCACCCUGCUAUAAAGUGUGAUAAAUAAUAUGAAUGAAAGGGGGAAGAAGAAAAGGACUCUGCUCACAAAGGAUAAAUCCUUCAUUUUGAUUAUCUUUUUCUUGUUCCAUGCAUGCAUACAACAAAGACCGACAGGACAGCUCCGAUUUGUACAUGUUGUUGGUACAGCGAAAAGACCGGCAGGGCCAGCGCCAGUCCGAGAAGGCUCGGCCGUUGGCAACAUGCCAAAUUGCCAAUUGACGAAUUCACAAUCACAGCACAAUAGUACUCAUACGUACUUCAUCCAAAAUUACAAGAUAUUUUAUUUUUUUACCCUAAAUUCAACCACUUAUCUUAUUCAAAAAAAUAUACAUAGUUAAAUUUAAGUUAUUUUUAAAGAACUUUUAUCAAUAAAUUAAACCACGACAAAAGAAAUGAUAUUUUGUAUAAAUUUUUGAAUAACGAGUGGCCAGAUUUUGUAUUAGAAAAGUUAAACGUAUUAUAAUUUGAGAUAUAUUGAGUACCACACACACGCACUUACUGUAGCCUUCUAUUAGGCGCAGUGCAGUGAUGAUUGGUGACAAAGACCCAUAUGUCAUAUGUAAAAGAAUAUGCAUCUAUCUAUCUAUCUAUCUAUAUGCGCGCCUAUCAUCACACACAACCAACCCACUGAGGACAUAUGAAACAAAAGAAAAAGACCCUGCAUGCUCAAAAUUAAAAGAAUAAAUCUAGUAUAUCUUAAGUUUCUGGCCGAUCAAAAUAUAUUAUACUACCAUACAAUACAACCACUAGCAGUGUGGUGGAUCCGGAACCGAUGCGCGGAAAACAACAGGUUGGGCCGGGAUACGGCAGCCUUUUUCCGCAAUGGGAAAAGGGUGAAUAUAUAUGGGCGAAUUUCUAUGCGAAUAAUAAGGUGAUGGAUGGAUCGAUCCGCCGGCCGAGAUGAUGAGAUUACAUUAUUAUUAGUAUUUUCAAGACGAGCGAUGGAGCGAGAGAUAAAAAUCACCGAAUCCUUAUCGUUUAUUAUCAUCUCUCUCUCUAGCUCGCAGACCCGGAUUAGCCCGGCCGUCCGGCCAUAUGCAUGUGACGAGAUGCUCCAUAUACCUGGAUAUAGCAUAGCAUAGCACAGCACAUACUAGCAGGCUUCGGCUACAAUAGUGUCCGUGUGUCCCCUCAUGGAGCGAAGAUGCAUCGAUGCGAAUAAUGAACAUUCUGUGCUGCUAACAUAGUAACGUACACGUGAAUGAUGAAUGCAUACAUUCAUGUGUGCACACUGCACGCACCAAUUAUAUAUCUGUUUGUACCAGAACUAUAUAGUCUGUAGCUAGCUACAAAAUAUGUUAUUCUGUAGCCACCUCCAUUUAUGAUAAUUUUAUAUACUAGUUUACGAUAAUAUGUAUACAUAUUUACGAUAGUUGGGUUACUAUAACACAUGGGAAUAUUUACCGUAAUGUUAUAGUAAACCACUUAGUUACUAUAAUCUCGUUAAUUAAUAGAGUAAUUAUCGUAACUCAAAGUGGCUACAGAAUAAGUUAUUUUGUAGCCAACUAUAGAGUAAUAGUUUUAUAUAUAUAUAUAUAUAUAUAUAUAUAUAUAUAUAUAUAGAGAGAGAGAGAGAGAGAGAGAGAGAGAGAGAGAGGAAGCCUUAUUCCUAUUUUGGUAUUUUGGAUUUCAGGAGUUUUAGCCCCGGUUAGUGAAGGACCACAGAACCUUUCUAGUUAUGAAUCGGGUAUAGAACCCAUGGGGGGGCUUGGUUACAAUUCCGAAUACACUAUUCCAUGUUUGCGCUAGUUUUUGUUGUUUUGGAUGUGGAAAUAGUCUUUCUCUACCGUUGGGCACAUGAGUUUCGACGUAUUGUGUGUAUCCAUUUUUAUCGAAGCUUUCAUUUUUGUGCUUAUCCUAGUUGUUGGUUUAGUUUAUGCAUGGCGAAAAGGAGCCUUGGAAUGGUCUUAACUGAAUAUUCAGAAAAAAAGAAGGAAAAGAUUCCAUUGAGACAAUUAUGAGUUUGAUUGAGUUUCCAUUACUCGACCAAACAAGUUCUAAUUCUGUUAUUUCAACUACACCAAACGAUCUUUCGAAUUGGUCAAUACUCUCAAGUUUAUGGCCCCUUCUAUAUGGUACAAGUUGUUGUUUCAUUGAAUAAACAUGAUUUUCUAUUAGAAACUCAUUCAAUCUCACAGGCCUAGUUACUAAGCCCAAGGGCCUAUUUAUGAGUAUUUAAGACUGAAAUGUAUUUUGUAAGGACAUAUCUGUAUUUGCUAGCCUUACCAUAGAAGAAAAUGGAAAAAAUCCACCUCCUACCUCUCCUAUAAAAAAAAGGGAGAAUAAAAGGUGCAAGAGGGCUUGGUCCAUCAACUUGGCUCUCUUCCUCUUGUUCCACUCUAUCUCUCUGUGAGCUUGAACCCUCCGAACAUGUUGAUGAAGCCAAGAAGGGAUGUCGGGUGUGGAAUGCGUGCACGCGGCGUAGGAAGUCCCUUCCGGUGGUGAAAAGGCAGGAAGCGGGUCAAACCAUAGGCCGGCGAAGGUUGGGAGUAGGAUGAAGAUGGCAGCAAGGAGGUAGCCGGAGAGGGACAACAACUCAUGUUCACCACUCGUGGUCAUUAUCAAAUAUGGAAUUCUGGCUUUGGGUGCUGUCGACGAAAGCUAGUCGGCAGUCUACCUUGGGGUAUACCCACGGUAGUAGUUUAUCGGUAGACGGUGCGCAAACUACGAACUCGAUGGUGACGCAAGACACGGACAAGCUUUUUAUCCAGGUUCGGCCGCCGAGUUGGCGUAAUACCUACGUCCUGCGUCUGGUUGUAUUGAUUUGUGUUGAGAGAAUAUGAUAUGAUCUAGGGGGGUCCCUUGCCCCUCCUUAUAUAGUCUGGAGGGCAGGGUUACAGAUCUGGAAACUAAUCCUAGUCGGUUACAAUUGCCAUGGAUAAUUCGAUACCAAUUCCUAUUCUAACCGACUAGAAUCCUGCUUGAUCUCCCCAUCUUGUUUCCUUGCGCGAAACUCCAGGUUGUCGGAUCAAGCCUUGAACUCGUCUCGUAAUGGGCCAAGCUUCCUGGCCGAAGUCUAACCGUAAGGGUAUAGGGGUUUAUACCCCCACAGCUAGUCCCCGAGCACCAUGUAUUGUGAUGUAACACGCCGUCUUGAGCUUUUUCGAUCAGUGAGACUUGACGUCUUCAAUACGUGGGAAAGUCGCCCAAACAGUUGCAACGGUUCUUUGACCAACUCAAAAGACAGUUGAUCAACAUUGACAUCGAAGAAGCGAGUUGUUCGAAGAAUGCAUGGUGCUCUAAAUUAAAAAAGAUUUCUUUCCUGGUGAAGUGUGCCCACUUUACUUUUUUGAAAGGUAUAAACAUCAAAAAAGCAAGCAUAUUCACCGCAAGGUGAAGUGUGCCCACUUAGUCCCCGAGCCUGGUAGUAGGUGACGUAGGCACGUGGUGCCAGGGUCAAAAUAAAAGUCCUCAAAGAAAUUCUGUAACUGAGAUGCAUCGCCAGAUGCAUCGUACCGAUGUAGUCCCCGAGCUUGCUGGAAGGCGAAGUAUGAGCCUUGUAGCAAGGUCUAAAAAAUUGAAUUUACCAGUCCGUCUGCAAUUGAAUAGAUUAAUCGACCAGUCACCAAGCACCAAGUGUUUUUUAGAAUCCUGUGUCGCUGUACUGUACGACCAGUCCCCGAGCAUCGAGUGCUCGGUGGUCGGUGCAGUUUUUAAAGCGUCUAGCUGAUAGACUGGGCGACCAGUCCCCGGGCGUCGAGUGCUCGGUGGUCGGUGCAGUCCUUUAAAGCUUCCAGCUGAUAGACUGGACGACCAGUCCCCGAGCGUCGAGUGCUCGGUGGUCGGCGCAGUCCUUGAAGUUCCGAGCUGAUAGACUGGACGACCAGUCCCCGAGCGUCGAGUGCUCGGUGGUCGGCGCAGUCCUUGAAAUUCCGAGCUGAUAGACUGGGCGACCAGUCCCCGAGCGUCGAGUGCUCGGUGGUCGGCGCAGUCCUUGAAAUUCCGAGCUGAUAGACUGGGCGACCAGUCCCCGAGCGUCGAAUGCCCGAUGGUCGGUGCAGUCCCCGGAUUGUUGACUUUCUGGCGUAUGUGUCGUCUUGUUUUUUUUUUGAAAAGAUCUUCCCAGUUAAAAUUGACGUGACGAGGCCUCCUGACAGGGUGUCAGACGGAUGCAUGAAAAGUUGCGCCUGGCAACUUGUGCAACCGCCUUUGCAUGGUUUGAGAAAAGGAAACCAUCAAUUUGUACGAAAAAUCCGCCGCAUUAAUUGUCUAUAAUCAUUGUAAACCGAAACGCCGCGUCCGCCGCAUGGCCUGCCCACUUCCCGAGAAUACAGGAAGUGGGAGAGGUGGAGUUGCGGGCUUAUGAGAGCCUAAUAGGUCCGCCUGUACCGCUUACCCUGCCAUUGUCUUCAAACCUUCCGCUCUCAUCUUCUCCAAUCUCCUGCAUCUUCCUAACUCAAGCCCACAUUCGCACCUCUAAUGGCGAAGAGCGACUCCAGGAAGAGGGCCGAACUGAUGGCCAAGGAGUGGAAGAAGUCUCGCAGCACCACAAAAUCUCUUGGUGACCUCGUCGAUAUGGGGCUUCUGCACGGCCCGGAGCUCGGCGGCUGGAGGGCACCGGAGGGGGAGAGCUACCCCGACCCUCGUGCCGGUGAGAUCGUCGUAUUUGAAGAUUUCAUUAAGAGGGGUUUUGGUGUUCCUGUUCAUCCUUUUCUUCAAGGUCUUCUUUUGUAUUACGAGAUCGGGAUUUGCAAUCUGCACCUGAACUCAAUUCUCCUCAUUUCCACCUUUAUCCACCUGUGCGAGGCCUAUGUUGGCAUAGAGCCGCACUUCGAUCUUUUCCGGUAUCUUUUCUGCUUGAGGAAGAAGGGAGCAGUUGGAGGCUCCAAGGUUGCAGGUGGAGUAUACCUCAACCUUCGUGAUGGAAUGAAGAAUCGCUACCUGCACUGUCCAUGGAACACUUCCUUGACCGAAUGGUACAGGAAGUGGUUCUACAUCAGGGAGGAACCGGGCAGCUCCACGUUCUGCGACGUGGGAUACAUUCCUGAGAAGAGGACGAGCUGGACCGACCGCCCGGAGUUCGACGGUCCAGUGGCGGAUCUCAUGAAGCUGAUCGACUGGUCGCGCCUGGACGGGCUUGGCGUGGUCGGCAACUUCAUUUGCCGCCGGGUGAUGCCCUGCCAGAAGAGGGUGCACUCGGCGUACGAGUAUGCCGGAAGCGCAGACCCGACCAGGAUGCGGUCGGAGAUCUUGGAGAAAGCGGAGGUACAACAGCUGUUGAACGAGCUGUUUAACUUCGCGGACGGAGGCUUCAUCCGUGGUAGUGAUCGGGUGCAAGCCUUCAAGUUAGGACGACCAGCACCAAAGGUAUGUAGCAGAUUCUGUUUUAGCAUUCGUAUAUCGUCGGCAGUUGACUCAUCUCUGUUGCUUUUGCAGAUCGGCGGUGUCGACCGGUGCACAGUGUAUGUAUCACUGGCACCGGGGAUGGAAAAUCCUGCGGGAGAAGACCCGCCAGAGGAGGACGCUGCUCGGUGUACUCAUUACACCAGCAGUGAAGAGGACCAAGCCCGCCCCAUCCCGACCUCUGAGGAGAGGGUAGCGGGGAAGAGGCCAUUGCCGGCAGAUCCUUUGCCGGCGGAUCUUCCGGCGGAGAGCAGCCAAGCACCGAAGCGUCGUCGGCUCGUGCGGAUCGUUGACGACGACGACGACGAGGAGGAGGCUGCGCCGUCGUUGGUCUGACGGCCCCGGGGUCGCCCAGAUAAUGUGCCGGCCGCUACUGAUCGAGUGGCCAGCGACGCCCCUGCACCGCAAGUUGUCGAGACGGGGGCGCAGGUGCCGACCGGCCGGGCGAGGAGGAGGUUCACCGCCACCCACCGUCGAUCAGACCUGUAAGUGUUCGACUUACGUAUUUUGGACUCCUCUUUGAUUUUGUUUUUUUUUUGAAAUUUGACUUUUGUUCCUGUAGUGCGGCGUCGGAUGUCGACCCCGGCCAGGUUGCCAGCCAAGGGACGGGCGAGCCUGCCCGCGGUUCUGGGGAUGCGGCCCCCCAGACCACAGAGCAGCCAACAGCUGCAGUCGCGCCUGGGAGCACCGAGGGGCUCCCGAGCGCGGCACCGACUACGACAAGCAGCCCGACCAGGGCUGGAGAGGCUCCCCCAACUGACUCCUCAGAGAGGGGAAGAUCUCCGACCGCUCCUCCUGCCGGGGGGAGUGAAGUCCCCACGCCGCCCCGAGCAGGAGCCUCCUCUGCUGCGGGCUCCCCAGGUCUGGUCCAAGGGCCAGUAAUACCUGGGACCACCACCGGGGGUGACGCAGCACAGGAGGAGGAAACCCGGGCGGCCUCCGAUGAUGAGGUGGAAGAGAUCGAGGGUCGUCCCCGUGAUGGCCGCCAACACGUGUAUGUGUGGCGCCAACGCGGGGAUCACUUUAUCGGGCAUGAGGAGCUCGCCGAGACCGAAGAGGCCGCCAGGGUGGAGCGCGCGGCCAAGCGCCUCGUCGACGAAGUCAAGGUAAGCGGCUUUUUGCACUGCUGCACAUUCUUUUGCCUUGUCUUGCAUGGUCGUUAUAUGCUUGCUUUGUAGGACGCAAUGAAAACGGCGAAGUACCGGAAACGGUGCUUUGACCAGAUAGAAGGCGUCAUGGCCGAGAACAAGGCCCUUGCCGCGGAGGUAGACCGGUUGCGGGCGGAGGUCGGGGAGAAGGUGGUCGAGAUGAGUGCCGAAAAGGAGCGUCGUCUCGACCUCGCUCGUCGUUUGGCCGACCAGUACCGGCUGCAAGAAGGUUAGUCACACGCUCCGAGCAGCUUCGCGUACUUGUAUAGUUUGCUUUGCUGACCAGUUUAGGAUUCACGCAGACUUGGAGGAGGAGGUGGCGAGCCUCCAACAAGAGAAGGAGCAGCUCAGCCAGCAGCUCGCCGGUGCGCUGGAGUCCGGGCGGCGAGCAGGAGAGGAGUUGGGUCGAAAAGACCGGGAGCUAUCUGGUAAUGGUUGCCGCCUUGUUGGUUACUGCCUGCCCCUUUUUUGUGCCGAAAAUAACGCUUCGUUUCGUUUGCAGUGCUCAAGGUGAACGCCAAAAAGCACCUGGACGAUCUGACCAAGGACCGGGACUCCUGGAAGGUCAACUGUUGCAGGAUCUGGAAAGGAGUGUCCCCGGUCCUAGACCUGAUCAGUCCCGAGCUCCCGGAGAGCCAGCCCCGCGCGCCGCAGUUGACCCCGGUCGAGAAGGCGCAACGGGCGUGGGACUGGCUCCAGCAGUUUGUGAAGGACGCCGGGGAGUUUGCCGGUGCGCACGUCCUCAGCAUGGUGCGCGCCCACUACCCUCUGGUCGACUUGAGCAGGCUGGAGAAGGGGUACCCGAAGGAAGUCGGCCCGCAGGACGCGGACGAGCUUCGGAGUAGUCUGCUGGACUUGUCGUCGACAGUGAUCGGCGACAUCAAUCUGUGCGGAACGGCCACUCCUCCAGACCAGCCGAGCUCAGAUAGGUCGGCCAGGGAGUUGUCGGGCGCGUCCGUUGCUGGAGAUGGGCGGUCGACGCCUGCGGUCUCGACCAGCCAGGCGCCGAUGGCCCCGACCCCUUCGUCCGGGCAGCAGGGCCAGGCGGGUGAUCAGCCCGAGCAGCUAGGCCAAUAAAGUAGUCUGUAGGAAUAGACUAGUGUCUGCCCGUCAGGGUAUUUAUUGUAAACUUUGUAUGUAAAGUUUGUAAUAAAGUUUACUUUUUGUCAUGACUGUUGUUUUGAGCGCUGUAAAAAUAUCUGAGUGACGUGUCACCGUAUUUGUCUUGGUUGUCGCUAAGAGCAUCCAUUGCAGGAGUUUUGCCGAGUGCUGUGUGUGACAAGGUAUAGGCAAAAAGUAGAGAAUUUCAUUAUCAAAAAUUAUAAGAUACUUACAAAAGAAAGUCAUUAAAACUUUAUGGAUAGAAACGUCGCAGUUUGUCGAUGUGCCAAGAGUUAGGCACUCGUGUUCCGUCUGGGUAUGCCAAUCUGUAGGACGUAGGUCGUGUGACCUCGGUCACCACGAAGGGUCCUUCCCAGGGAGUGGAUAGCUUGUGCAUUCCCUCCUGGCUUGUUUUCCAUCGAAGUACCAGAUCGCCGACCACGAAGGAACGGUCCUUGACGUUCCUGUUGUAGUAUCGCCUGACUGCCGCGAGAUAUUUUGCUGUUCGGAGACAUGAAACUAAACGCUUUUCCUCCAUGCAAUUGAUUUCGAGUUCUCUGGCGUUGUCGGCGGUCGCCUGGUCGAAGUGCUCGAUUCUAGGGGAUCCGAAGUGUAUGUCAGACGGCAGGACCGCCUCUGCACCGUAUACCAUGAAGUAGGGAGACACCCCUGUGUUUCGACUGGUCUGGGUUCGGAGGCCCCAGACCACUGCCGGCAAUUCUUUCAUCCAUCGACCGGGUGCUCUGUCGUUUUCGGUGUACAGCCUUUUCUUUAGGGCGUCAACGAUCAUUCCGUUAGCACGUUCGACUUGACCGUUGGCACGUGGAUGUGCCACUGACACAUAUUUUAUGACUAUGCCUCUGUCAUCGCAGAAAUCCCAAAAAGUGGUGCCAGUAAACUAGGUGCCCAGGUCGGUGAUUAUGCUGUUCGGGAUGCCGAAUCUGUGUAUGAUUUGAUUGAGAAACUCCACAGCAUUCUCGGAGGUUGCCUUGACCAGGGGCAUGUAUUCAAUCCACUUGGAGAACUUGUCGAUUAACACGAAGACAAACUUGAAAUUGCCCGGGGCUGGUUUAAAUGGUCCGAUCAUGUCAAGCCCCCAGCAAGCAAAGGGCCAAGACGACGGGAUGGUUUGAAUUUCAUGGGCAGGUACGUGGGUCCUCUUAGCGAAAAACUGACAUCCUUCGCAAUGCCGAACCAGUUUUUCUGCGUCGCCGACCGCGGUUGGCCAAUAAAAACCUGCUCGGAAAGCCUUUCCGACCAGCGUUCUAGAUGCGGCGUGAUUGCCGCAGGAUCCAGCGUGUAUGUCUUCCAAGAGCUUGAUACCAUCAUCUUGGGGUAUGCACUUGAGCAGUACUUCGGAGCUUGCGUUUCCGCAUGAGUUUUCCGUCGACCAGGAUGUAGUUCUUUGAUCGUCGGAUGAGGCGCUCGUUCUCUGUUUUGUCCUGAAAGCCUGUCCCGUCUGAUAUGUAUUUGAUGAACGGGGUACGCCAGUCACGCCCGCCGGUUGUCGGAGUGGCGUCAUCUAUGAGCAUUGCCUCGGUGGGUUGCUUGUCGAACAGGGGGGAGCUUACGCUCGGCUCAUGGAUGUCCUGGACGAAAUACCCCGCGGGAUUUGGGCCCGAGAUGAGCCUAACUUUGACAACGCAUCUGCUGCUUGCUUCUUAUCCCGGACCACGUGGAUGUACUCUAUGCCAUAGAAGUUAGUUUCCCAUUUGCGAAUUUCUUUGCAGUAGAGAUCCAUCUUCUCGUGGGUUGUGUCCCACUCCUUGUUGAGCUGGUUGAUGACCAAAGCGGAGUCGCCAUAGACGUAGAGGCGCUUGACCCCCAGUUCAACGGCUAGUCGUAUGCCAUGCAAGCAUGCUUCGUAUUCGGCGACGUUGUUUGACGCCGGAAAAAGGAUCCGAAGGACGUAACGGAGUUUGUCCUUGUUGGGUGAUACGAACAAUAUCCCAGCGCCUGCACCGUUGAUGUUCAAGGACCCGCCAAAGAACAUUGACCAGUGGUCUGAGACAUCGGGAACGGAAGGCUCGUUGAGAUCCGUCCAUUCGGCAAUGAAAUCGACCAGGGCUUGAGACUUGACAGUGGUGCGACUCUGGAACUCCAGGGAAAAUGGACAUAAUUCCAUUGCCCAUUUCACGAUUCUGCCAUUGGCGUCUUUAUUGCGCAGGAUGUCCCCGAGAGGGAAACUGGUUGUCACCAGGACUCGAUGGCCGUCGAAGUAGUGCUUCAGCUUUCUUGACGUUAUCAGGAUGGCGUAUAUAAGCUUCUGUAUUUGUGGGUACCUGGCCUUGGACUCGUUUAAGACUUCGCUUAUGAAGUAAACGGGUCUCUGGACCUUGAAAACGUGACCUCGUUCAUCUCGCUCGACCACUAUUGCCGUGGAAACAACCCUGUCGGUUGCAGCAAUGUAAAGGAGUAGGUCUUCAUUGGGCUGAGGCGCUGUGAGGACAGGUGGUGAAGUGAGGAAGGUCUUAAGCUGAGUGAACGCAGCGUCGGCUUCCUCUGUCCAAGAAAAUUUUUCUGACGCUUUCAAUAGUUUGAAGAAAGGGAGGCCUUUUUCUCCCAGCCUUGAGAUGAAACGACUGAGGGCGGCCAUGCAUCCGGUUAGCUUCUGAAUAUCCUUGACGUUCUUCGGUGGUCGCAUGUCGAGUACGGCUUUGACUUUUGAAGGGUUUGGUCGUAUGCCGUCGCGACUGACGACGUUGCCGAGCAGUAGACCGGAAGGAACGCCGAAAAUGCAUUUGUUGGGGUUGAGCUUCCACUUGUACCUAUUGAGUGCCUUGAAGGUUCGGUCUAAGUUGUCGAUUCGGGUGCUCGCGUCCCUUGUUUUUACGACCACGUCGUCCAUAUAGGCCUCGACGAGGUCAUCGCGAAUCUCGUCGUGGAGGCAUUGCUGGAUGGCCCUUUGAUAAGUGGCCCCGGCGUUUUUAAGUCCGAAAGACAUGGUAGUGUAGCAGUAUGCGCCGAAGGGUGUGAUGAAGGAUGUUUUGAUCUGAUCUUCUUCCUUUAGCGAGAUCUGGUGAUAACCAGAGUAGCAAUCUAGAAAGGAGAGUAGUUCGCAUCCGGCCGUUGAGUCGACCACCUCGUCGAUGCGAGGAAGACCAAAAGGAUCUUUAGGACAGUGUUUGUUGAGAUCGGUGUAAUCAACGCACAUUCUCCAUUCAUUAUUCUUUUUGCGUACAAGAACCGGAUUGGCGAGCCAAUCGGGGUGAUACACUUCUUUUAUGAAUCCGGCUGCUAGAAGCCGUGUUAUUUCUGUCCUAAUAGCCUCCUUUUUGUCACGAGCGAACCGUCGCAGUUUUUGCUUGAUUGGUCUUGCGGUCUUCGAGACAUUUAAGGAGUGCUCGAUCAGGUUUCGUGGGACACCGGGCAUGUCUGCGGGUUUCCAUGCGAAAACGCUCACGUUGUCCCUUAGAAACCUGACGAGCGCGUCUUCCUAUUUUGGAUCCAGGUUAGCCCCGAUGAGGGCUGUCUUCUCGGGGUUGCCUUCGACCAGCUGCACUUCUUUGUAUUCCUUGGAUUUUGAGUUCUUUCUGGCUGUCUCCUGCGCAGGUAAUCGGAGCUGAUCGGGAGGCAGCUGUGCGGCUUGGUUUGCUGUUUCCGCCAUGCGGAUUGAGAGGUCGAUUGCCUCGGUGAUCUUGAAGCUUUCUUCUUCGCAGGUGUACGCGGUGUAGACGUUGCCUCUGAUGGUUAGGACACCCUUCUCCGUGGGCAUCUUAAGGACUAGGUAUGAGUAGUGCGGGACUGCCAUGAACUUUGUCAGCGAUGGGCGGCCCAGUAUGGCGUGAUAGGUCCCGUCGAAAUCCGCGACUACGAAGUUGAUGAACUCCGUCCGGAAAUGAUCGGGUGUGCCGAAUUGGACAGGCAAUGUUAUCUGUCCGAGGGGCACCGAACUUUGACCUGGCAAAACCCCCCAGAAUUGGGCGUCGUAAGGUUUUAGUUGUGCCGGUGAUAUCUUGAGGGCGGGCAGGCUGUUGCGGAAGAGGAUGUCGAUGGAGCUUCCCCCGUCCACGAGCACGCGCUCGAAUCUGAUGCUAUUGAUGCAGGGAUCAAGAAUCAGUGGGAAACGACCCGGCUCUGGGAUAGCGGCCCACUGGUCCUUCCUGCUGAACGAGAUCUCCCUGUGGGACCACGCGGGAAAUUUCGGAUCUGCGAUCAGCCCGUCCGUGCUGUCUAUGUUGAGGCAGGCUCUCUUUAACAACUUUCUUUCUCGCUUGGACUCAGUGGAGACCUUGCCCCCGAAAAUGGAGUGGACCACGUCGGUGGGGCUGACGUAUUGGUGUCGGGGGUCCCUGUCUUGGUCCUCAUCCUCAUCUUCGUGGUCGUGCCCGUCGCGCUUGUUAUUUUUCUUGGCGGAGUCCUCUUGGGCGGCCCGCCGUGUAUAGAUACUUUUGAGGACGCGGCACUCUUCCAUGGUAUGGUUAGACUUUGGGUGUACCUGGCACGGUCCCUUCAACGUUUUGUUGUAGUCGUCUUGGUAGUCCCGUCGUCCAUUGGGACGUUUGACCGUAUUUACUUCGUGGUCGUAUUCGCGAGGGCGCUUUCCUCUGAAGUCGUCGCGGCUGUCGCGCCGCCGAUCCCAACCCUCUCGGUGAUCGCGGUUGUCAGAGCGGCGGUGAUUUCUGUUGUCGUAGCGACCACGACCGUCAUCUCGCCGGGAAGGCUGGUCGGGGCCUCUCGCAUCGUCUCGGAUUAGUUUUUCUGCGUCAUCAGCAUCGGCGUAAUUUUUAGCCGUGGCGAGGAGCUCUGCUACCGUUGAUGGGCGCUUACGCAACAGCUUGUUCCUCAGCGCUUCAUGAAAACGCAAGCCCUUGAUAAAGGCUGAUAUGGCCUCGUCAUGAGAAAUCUUCGGGAUUUUGAGGCGCAUAUCCGAGAAUCGUCGGAUGUAAUCGCGCAGAGGUUCAUUCUUCCUGUCUCUUAUCCUUUCAAGGUCAUACUUGUUUCCGGGCUGCUCGCAUGUGGCGAUGAAGUUGUCGAUGAAAGCCUGGCGUAGCUCUUCCCAAGAGUCGAAGGAGUCCUCGGGCAAGCCGAGAAGCCACUGAUGACCGGCCUGGUCGAGGACUACGGGGAAGUAGUUAGCCAUGACGUGCUCAUCUCCUGCCGCUGAUCGGACGGCGAUUUCAUAGAGAGUGAUCCAGUUCUCUGGAUUUUCCUUGCCGUCGUAUUUUUUAAGUUUUUCGAGCUUGAAAUUGCGGGGCCACACGACCUGGCGGAGGUGUGAGGAGAACUGUCUUAGGCCUGGAGGACCGUGGGUCGCAUCGUACUCGAUGCGGCGCAGGUUUUCGUGGACUGCUCUCUCUGCGGCGCGCCUGUUGAUGCGGUCCCGGGCAUCUUUGGGAGGGAUGUUGUGGCGGAGAUCCCUGUGUUGAUCUUCUUCUUGGCCGCGUAUGCCAUGAAUUUGCUUGCGGCGGCCAUCGGCGUCCCGACCACCAUCGUCGCGCCGCGAGUCCCCGCGACGGUUGUCGGGGGAGCGGCUGCGGUGAUGCCUGCUGGGUGAGACCUGGCUACGAUUAGUCUGGUCGGAGGCGGCUUCUGUAUAAGAGACGUCCUGGACUCUCUUGAGUAGAGUGGCUGUCUGUCCCAUUGCGGCGAUCAGGUGUGCUCGGAUGCUGGUCCGGACUCCCUGGCAUUCGAGUGUGUCAGGAAGCCGAUCCAGGUUGGCCAUGGCGACAGCCACGUUGGCGCUUGGCGUUUUGUAGACUGGCUGGUCCCCGACCAUGUCAAAGGCAUCGUUGAGGUUACUUGGUGGCAUCUGUUGUUGCUCGUCCGCACGCCGUCGGGCACGAUCGGCGUUACGCUGUUCGCGGAGUUGCCUCUGGUCAUCUGUUUCUCCGUCAACAGCCGGUUCGUCGGCGCUGACAUUGAACACAAUAUCCCCUCGCCGGGGGGGAAUAUCGGGAAUCGGUCGAAACCCGGAGGGUGUGAAGGAAAAUCCAGGUCGUAGCCCUCGUCUUCGGUGUUUAUGACCUCGGUGGGGACGGAGCCGGUACUUGAGUUGGUGCUGGAAACCUGGCCGUCCCGUAGCUCUCGGAUUGUCACCAUGUUGACAUGGUGACGAUUGUUCCUUGUCGGCGACCAACCCGCCUUGCUGAAAACGGAUUGGACAUGCUGUGAGUAAACAGAGGCCGAGUUGUUCAGGCCGCGAGGAUAGUCUUCCUUUUUGAGCUCGACGGAUCGUCCUGAGGGGAUUGAGGUUGUCGUCAGGGACGUUCCCAGCCGUUCGUGUGUGGCGACACGAGUUGGCCGGCGGGAUUUCGAAAAAUCCGCUCGAGCAGCUUGGUCGGGCCGUCGCAGAACUCCAUCUAUUAGUUGGGAGACUUCGAGUAGCUUGGAGUCAGUGCGAUCGAGCGCUUGGAGGAGGUCCGAGCAGUCGAUCUCCUUUCCCUUGUAGAGUGGGAACGGUGGUCGGGCGCUUGGUGCCGUCAUGCGUGUGGUCGGAGACGGCGUGAUCUCAGAUUGGAUCUGGAUCUCCUUCGGAACCGUGGUCGCGAAGCCGCCGCUGCACGUCGUCCACGUGAUCUGGCCGACGGUGAACGUGAGGCCUUCGGGCACGGUCGCGGAAGCUGGGAUCGUAACCAUCUUGUUCGCCGGAAAAGUUGCACGCACACCCCCUACCUGGCGCGCCACUGUCGACGAAAGCUAGUCGGCAGUCUACCUUGGGGUAUACCCACGGUAGUAGUUUAUCGGUAGACGGUGCGCAAACUACGAACUCGAUAGUGACGCAAGACACGGACAAGCUUUUUAUCCAGGUUCGGCCGCCGAGUUGGCGUAAUACCUACGUCCUGCGUCUGGUUGUAUUGAUUUGUGUUGAGAGAAUAUGAUAUGAUCUAGGGGGGUCCCUUGCCCCUCCUUAUAUAGUCUGGAGGGCAGGGUUACAGAUCUGGAAACUAAUCCUAGUCGGUUACAAUUGCCAUGGAUAAUUCGAUACCAAUUCCUAUUCUAACCGACUAGAAUCCUGCUUGAUCUCCCCAUCUUGUUUCCUUGCGCGAAACUCCAGGUUGUCGGAUCAAGCCUUGAACUCGUCUCGUAAUGGGCCAAGCUUCCUGGCCGAAGUCUAACCGUAAGGGUAUAGGGGUUUAUACCCCCACAGGUGCAGGGGUGGGGGCGGAGGCACGAAGCAAGAAGGUGAAGGACGUAGGAGGUUUGAGUUCCAAUCGAUCUACUUGAGCUGGAAGUGUGGACAAAGGUUUAUUAGAGCAACUUCAACAGCCUUGCCAUCCCCUCCCGCAAAGUUCGUUUAGCGAUUUGAUUUGAUUUGAGGCUACAAAGCAGUCAGGUCUAACAAACUCUCUUUGUUGUUUUUCAUUUUUCUCACUUGCACACUCCAACGAUGACGACAAGUUGGGCCGAUAUUCACUGUGCACUCCAACGACAACCACAUGGAAUGCAUCAAACUCACACUCGCCUGGGGAACGAUGGGUGUCCACGAUAAACUUGACACUACAUCAGCAUCGACAAUCAUGAGGAUGCACUAGAGAACUCCAUCAAGGGCAGUGUGGAGAUCACACAUCAGACAUUCUGUCGAGCAUUGAGGAAUAGCAACAUUCAUCAUCUUCCUCGUGCCCCGAUCUCUCUUCUUCUUAGUGUUAGUGCACUCAUUGAAUUCUUCUGCGAUCUUUCUCUCUCAUAUCGUCAUACGUCGAUGUGACAAACGCCGGUUGCCACCACCUAAUAUGUAGAGUCCAUUUUAAGUCACGAAUCAUCUACUCUUUCCAAAUCCAAAUUAUAAGAGACUUUUUAAUAUUUCUAGAUUUAUAGGUUUUUCUUUGUAUAUCUAUUGUAUAUGUCUAGAUGCAUAAUUUUUUGAACUAUAAUUUUGAAAACGGGGGAGUACUAAAUGAACAGCUAACAUUGUCAUUUGUGAAGCAUAAGUUGGUUUCGAGUAUAGAACAUCAGGUUUUGUGUUUCGAAGAAUCACCUGUAGUCGAGGGAGGUCAUAUAUGGUACUUUUCCUUGUACACACAUCGUUGUUGGUGCGCGCCGGCCUGGAGGUCAGCAACGUUUUGCUGGGUUGAUUGGUGCGGCUCCUGGAGCAGUUGGACCCUGGGCCUACAAUAACGACUUCAUGGGCUUAUAUACCGCCACUAACGCCAGCCCAACAGGGGAGUCCUCGCAAACGGGCCCGGCGAUGGGCCCGAUCACAUCGGCCAGCGCAGUUCACUUUUUUCCUUUUUUUUUUGUUCAUCUACGAUCAUGUCACUCAGUUUGCAAAAUUUUUUCAAGAUUCUCUGUCACAUCGAAUUUUUAUUUGUAUGCAUAUAACAUUAAAUAUAUACGAAAAUAAAAACUAAUUGCACAAUUUACCUGUAAUUUAUGAGAUAAAUCUUUUGAGCCUAGUUACUCCAUGAUUGGACAAUGUUUGUCAAAUAAAAACGAAAAUACUACAGUAGCCACUGUAAUUUGUGAGAUGAAUCUUUUGAGCCUAGUUACUCCAUGAUUGGACAAUGUUUGUCAAAUAAAAACGAAAAUACUACAGUAGCCAAAAACCAAAAUUUUUGCCAACUAAACAAGGCCUCAGGGAAAAAAGGAUUACGGCAAGAAAACGCGUUCAUCCAAUCCAAUCUACUUAAUCCAUCCCAAAUUGUAAGUCGUUUGAUUUUUUUAAUAACAAGUUUGAUCACUCAUCUUAUUUAAAGUUUUAUAUAAAAUAUCAUUUUUUUUGUUGUGUAUUAGUUUAUUAAUAAAAGUUCUUCAAGAAUAACUUAAAUUUGACUAUAUUUGUACAGAUUUUUUGAAUAAGACGAGUGGUCAAACUUGAGAUAAAAAAGUCAAACGACCUACAAUUUGGGAUGGAGGGAGUAAGCUUCAUCAAAUAAAAAAAAGAUCGAAUCUUUUAAGAGACGAAUCUUGUACCAUAUACUCUCCCCUCUCGUUUGGCCACAUCACUCUGUAUAGCUCGCGAAGCUUCUUAGGUCGACGAGUUCGGUGUUCGCUCUAGCGUGGAAGACUUCUGAAGAUAGUAGGCACUAGUACUGCGCACGGCGUCAUGAAUUGGCGACUCGAGCGCGGAAACUGCGGUUCACCUGCAGCAGCCCGGAGCGGAUUGUUGCAAGUGUAGAUAGGAUAAGCUAGCUAGCUGUUAUGUUUGAACUUUGAACGAAAUUAUAUCUUUAGUUUCCUCGUCUGUUUCCUCAAUUAUUUUUCUAGAUAUCUAAAUCCCAUGUAAUUUAUAGAAGAAUAGUAGACACUGUCUGGACAUAUGAUCCCCUUUUGAUGUCUUAGCCGGCCUCUACUAUAUGUGAUAUCAGAAUUCAGAUCUCUAGUAUCAAUUUUUAUUUUAAUUUUGAAAAACGUGCCGAUGCACGUGUGGCACUAAGAGGAAAAAAAGAUGAUUUACACACUCCAUAGGUGGCGACAGCAAGGCUUCGAGCCAUAAAACAGAGAGGCACACAAAACACAAAUCACCCUACGGUGGGUAGAAAACAUUGUACGAAGUAAGAACGAGGUGUGUGAUAAAAAAGGCGUUAGCGAGCUAGACUACACAGGCUAUGGACAGCCUGCAGCAUUUCAGUUUGCAAGGGUAGCCAUUGAGGUUUUAUACUUGCUAUUUAAUUCUACAGAAAUGAGUUUUCUUUUUGCGAGACGCCUCUUGACGAACAUGUCGCCUACCAGUCUAUCACUGAAUGAGUGCAUAGGAUCCUACCUAAGACCUAACUUUAUACAAUAAGUAUCUGCCCAUAAUUUUGUGAGUUUACCUAAAGCCACCCGCGUUCUUGUUCAAUAUAUAUUAAGGUAUAACAAGGCAUUGUUCAAUAUAUUAAAUAUAAGAAAUUUCAUUAGAUUUUAGCAACUUUAAUUUACAGUUUUCAAUCAACCGCAAAUAAACAUCGGCAGCACCACAAAUGCCACAAAUAUCCGUUGGCCAAAGAACCAUCCAUUAUUCAUUGCGUGGUGUAUCCAACAAAGGCGCGGAGCAAGAAGGCUGAAGACCGGCCGGUCAUCGAUUACCGUCGCCGGAGUUGGCUGGCAAGACUCAAGAGCUAGCGUUUAACCGGCCGAUCAAUCUUUAUUCGUUUGCCUAAUAAGUCAUAGUAGAUUUAUUGAUAGAAAAAAACACUAAAUUCGGAUGAUAAUAUUAAGCAACUGGCUAAUAGAAACAUCCAAGGAUAAAAAAAAAAAAAGGUUCUACACAUCGUGUCCACACCCCCACCGUGCUCUUUACACAACCAAGCCGAGACAGCAGUGAGAUGAACACACAUGGAAACAACUACAAUAUUAUUUGGAUUUGAUUCACACAACGGCGCAGCAACAAGCAAGGAGGCCGUUUUUAUUCAACUCGGACGCGUCCGUGACCGGCGACGACCCAGCGAAAGGUCAACUCAAGCGGAGGAGGGCGGCGGUGGGAAUGGGAUGGCGGCGACGGUCUUCUGGAACGCGGGGCGCUUGGCGAUCUCCUCCCACCACGCCUUAACAUGGGGGCGGUCGUUGACGAGCCCAGCCUUGGGGGUCUUGGUGAGGUAGAGCAGGUAGGACGCGUGGUUGGCGUCGGCGAGCGUGAACUCGUCGCCGGCGAGGUACUUGUUGCUGGCGAGGUGCGCCUCGUAGACGUCGAGCACCUUGGCGAGCUCGUGCGCGUGCUUGUCCACCACCAAUGGGUCCGGGGCGCCGCCGAAGAGCGGCCUGAAGAGGAGCUGGAACACCAGCGGCGACGCGUUCGGGUAGAAGUGGUGCGACUCCACCUCCAGCCACACCUCGAGCUUCGCCGACGCCGUCGCCGGGAGCAGCGCCGCGCCCGACGACGCGUACUUGGUCGCGAUGUACCGGUUGAUGGCACGGGACUCUGCGGUGAAAUGUGCGCGCGGUCAGGUGAGGUGAAUAGAUCAGCUAGUUCAGCAGCAGGAUUUAGUGACUAGAUUUGACAUGGGCAUCCAUCCAUCAAGUUCAAGGUAAAAUAAGCCAGGUUCUCCAGACGAAAUCCAAGUGGUCAACACUCAACAGGGAUAAUGUUCAAUAUUUAAAAAUGGGGAGGAAAAACAAAAAGAUACUGUUCCUAGAUCUGGAUCUCGUUAUUCGAUUCAUAAUCAUAAUUAACCGGUACCAGGAAUUAUUAUGUCAGUAAAAAACAGAGUGGGUGAAUGGGGAGUUUACCGUAGAGGACUUCGUCUCCGUCGACGAGAGCCGGGAUCUGGCCGAAGGGCUGUUUGGAACAAGAACAAGAAGAAGAAGAAGCAAGAUGAUGAGGCACGCACAUAAAGCAAAACUAGUAGCGGAACGGAAGCAGGAAGGGGGAGGAGAGACGGACGUUGAGGGCGAGGAAGUCGGGCUGCUUGUGGGCGCCGGUGGUGAGGUCGACGGGGAUGAUCUCGAAUUCGAGGCCCUUCUCGUUGAGCACGGUGGCCACGCGCACCACGUUGGGCGACAGCGGCAUCCCGUACAGCUUCAGCGGCGCCAUCCUUUGCUGCUGCUUCCUUCCCCAAGUCGGUCGCCGGUCAGUGAGUCUCUCUCUCUCUCUCUCUCUCACGCGUCCACACUGCGAUUGGAUAGGAGUUGGAGUUGCCUUGCCCGUGCCCUCCCGUUCUUUAUAGCAGUUGAUGAAGAAGAAGACGACGAGUGAGGAGGUGGGCGGGGCCAGCGGCCAGCGAGGCGCGCCAUUCACUCGCCGGGGAAAAUGGAGAUGGGGAUUUUAAUUGCACCACCAUCACCGUAAUAAUAAAAUGGAUGGGGAUUUUUUUUUAACGCGAUGAACGAUUAUGACAUGUACAAGGCGUUACGGGCACUAUGACGGUGUCCAGAGAGAAAAAAAAAAUGGCGGACGUGUGGAGAAGCGACGAGCCGCGUGUGCCCGAGGAAGGAACUGGAUUGCAUCGGGGUCGUUGGGAAGGCGGCUGCGGAUGCCGCGGAUGCUUUCGCACAUGGAAACGGCAGGAUCCCUGCAGGCUGGCCUGAUUCAUCGUUUCUGGUCGUUGAAACGUCUCUUGUCGGUGCAAAUGGAUCAGGUAUCCUUUUGUUUUGCUUGGCCCCAGCCAUAUAUAACACGUGUUCCUUCCUUGAUUUUUUAGCCAUAUGUAUACAAUAUACGCGCAGGUUCAUCUUUCAUAGGCCGAUUACUUGUUGCGCUAAUUUCAUAUAUUCACCAGCUGUCCAGCUGAACAGCGGAGACAAGCAACUGGGCAACAACGUAGUCACCAUUACUCUAACUAAUCAUCAAAUGAGAUUAAACAUUAUUUAUCCUAAAAGAUCAUACAGCAAACAUCGCAAUCAAUCAACAACACAGAUAGUUAUCGUAUGAGCAGAAUAAUAAUUAAAGAAAAAAACAGGCAGAACGUGCAACGCUAUUCAUCAAAUGAGUAAAACAUUGCUAGGCUAUUUUAUUUAUUCAUAAAUAAAUAACGAUGCAUUCUAUUACGUUCGUCUGCAAAUGGGUGUUUUAGCCCUUCCGCAGAACAUAGUACAUCAGAGAUAUAUUUACAAAUAAAAAUAUUAUUAUCUCUUGCUUUGCCCUCGGGUCACCGAGGGCCCACAAAGAUACUGUACAAUCCUUGGUACAGGGGGAGCAGUCAUGAUGAUGAUUACAGUAUGUUGCUACGGUUGAUCCGAUGGUUUUAGGAAAUUGUAGCACUCCAGCUGCAGCAUUUCUCCUCCGUUAACUGGGUCAAAUUGGCAUCUGUAGAAGCUGCAAAGCCAUGCACAAAAAAGAACAAAUAUUUAGAUUCAAAUAUAUAGAUAGAUUCAUCUACCGCACUUAUAGUUGUACAGAGUGAAUGUUCUAUUUCAUGUUCUCACCUUCCAUCCAUACCAACAACUGCCACAGUAUUCUUCUCAUGUCCAAAUGCAACAAUAUACUGCUCACCCUCAUGUAGCCUGAAUUGAGCUACUGACCACUCAGAAUGGAAAUAUUUCGGCAACACACCUGCCAUUGAUGAAAGUAAACAUGUCAAUACAAGCCUGAUUAAAAAAGGCAACCAAAAACAGCAGCGAGCUGCUUUCAUUGGCAGAUGGUCUCAUCCUGUGUAACUAGCAUAAAUUACUAGAGUAUAAACCAAAGACUGAAUUUCCACUACUCAGGGCACGUCCAGGUACCAUGUAAAAAACACCAAAACAGAAACCACUUGAAGCAUACGGCUUUUUUCAAAAAAGAAAAAGAAAAAAAAGAGGGAUAAAAACAAGGAAAUCAGCAAGAUCAGACCAGAUGCAGAGUGUUCGCUUCUAUGCCUCCAGCAAGACAAUACUCCCUCUAGGUUUUUUACAUGUCGUAUUAGCUUCAUCCUAAGUCGAACAUUUCUAACUUUGACAAUCAAUUCUUUUUUUAAAAAAAAAUGUGUAUAGGUUAACAACAUAAGAUUAUGUUUUACAAUUCACUAUGAUAUACUUGCAUAAUAUAUAAUUUUCAUGUGAAACUACCUGAUUUUUUUUAAAAAAAUGACGGUAAUAGAAGUUAGACAUGUUUGACUUAGGACAAACCUAAUGCACCAUGUAAAAAAUCAGAGGGAGUAUAUCAAUGAUACUCAAAUAUAAAAGGACACGAUCAAAUCAAAAUAAGAGAUCAAGGAAAAUGCUCUAUGUCUUGUAACGAUUUAGAAAUAUUAGAAUGGAAAAUGUAACAUAUACUAAGCCUUUUAAUGUUUAUUGUCCAACAAAUAACUCCCGAAGUACAAUGUGCACAUUUAGGAAAACUAACUCCCAAAGACAAAUCACAACUAAUAAUAAGCUAGUAUAUUUUGAAACAAAACUUUUCAAGCCUAUAAAUGUCAACCAGAAAAGGGAACUUCCCCCAAACAUCAGGUAUCCCG